RNAcentral lists this long non-coding RNA (55812 nucleotides) under Capsicum annuum. RNAcentral describes it as "long non-coding RNA (CANN_LNC015165)". Lineage: Eukaryota; Viridiplantae; Streptophyta; Magnoliopsida; Solanales; Solanaceae. The record is from RNAcentral.
UUCCCCCAACCUACGGCCGGUCCCAAUCACCCUCUGAGUGUGUUGGUCCUGUAUAACACAAACAGAAUCAGAAAAAAACACCCAAUUACCAGCCUUACACAACUGACUGACCGAAACAAGAUUUAAAGCAAGUUUGGGAAUGUAAUAAACAUCAGAGAGGACAAUGUGAGGGGUAGUAACAGAACCAACACCCUCGACUGACAUAGGUACAGCACUCGCGGACAUAACAGAGAUUGGUGAAAUGGGUGACAAAGAACCAAACGAUGACAAAUGAGGGGACAUGUGAUGAGACGCACCAGAAUCCAAUAUCCACAAGGAGGAAGGAAUACCUGAGGUACUAGAAGAAACUGAACCCGAAUGAGACAUAGAUGCUGACAUGGCCGUAGGAUUAGAAACGAAGAACUGUCUGAACUGUUCGAAAACCUGGGGAUCCAACGCAGAAGGUGGCAUAGUGCUAACAGACUCAACAUCUACAGAUGGUGCAGCAGCAGCGAACUGUGGAGGACGAGAUGACCACGGAGGAGCACCAGAUGGGCGUGACGGAUACUUUUGCUGCCCAUAUUUCUGUUGCUGCCCAGAUUGAGGCUGUUUGACCUUGUUAAGUAACAACGGACACUGAGCCUUCCAAUGAUUUUUCUGUUUGCAGAAUGCACACUCAUCAAAUGCAACUUUAGGAGAUUGUCGAGUCUGAGUACGUGGUGGCCUAGACUGAUCAGUUGAAGCAGCAAACACGACAGGAGUAGUAGUUACUUUAGACCCUUUAUCCACUUGAGACUUGAUACGAGUCUCCUCUGCAAUCAGUUCAUGAACCACAGAAUCAACAGUAGGGAGGGGAGAUCGAUGAAGGAUUGUUCCACGUAGGCCCUCAAAGUCAGAACGUAGUGCCAUCAAAAACUGAACCAAGCGUUGCUCUUCCCGUCUAGCAAUGUACGGCCCAAAACCUUUUAACUCUGCAGAUUCAGUAAGUGCCAAUUGAUCCCACAAAUCCGACAUGGCAGCAUAAAAAUCUUGAAUACUGAGAUCAUGCUGUUGAAGAGCACGGAUAUCAUACUCCAACUGGUACUGCUUAGCAAAAUUAGACUGAGUGUACAGUCUUUCCAAAUGAUCCCAGACCUCCUUUGCUGUGUCAUACUUAGCCAAUUGCAUACCAAUUGACUGAGUUACAGAAUUGUUGAUCCAAGUGAUAAUCUUGGAGUUAUUAGUUUCCCAUAAGUCCACCAACAAAUCAAAAUUUUCAGUUUUAUCAUCGAUAGGUCUUGGUUUUACUCCAGUGAUAUAACCCCACAUAUUCUUCCCACGAAGAAAAUUCUUCAUGACAUAACUCCAAUAUGCAUAGUUCUUACCAUCUAAUUGAGUACUAAUGGACUGGAGAGAAUCAUCCUUUCCAGUCAUUGUAAACACAGCAACACACAAACAAUUCAAAAAAACAAAAAGAUGCAAAACCCUAGGUUGAACAAUUCCGAACGAACAACAAUGGCAGCAAGCAAAAGAACGAAAGACGAACAAUACCAGACAGCAAACGAAGACAGCAACGAAUCAAUCCAACCAAAAAAACCCAACGAAAAUAGCAAACGAAUACAGCAGCACCUCAAAAAAAAUUCGGGACUCCGCCCCGAACCCCGGCAGGGGGCGCGCUGCCCCCCGGAAGGGUUACUGCUAGCUGUUCAUUAGUGUAUCUUUGACACUAGUUCUUGCAGAUAAGUUUGAACCUGUUCAUGAGGUGUAUGUGAGCUUUGAUACCAUGUUAAUAGAACUUUAUUGAAGGGAAGAAAGGCUAAGGUUUACAAUAUAAUCUGAAAAGCAUAAAACUAACUAAAACAAGAGUAGGCUAUAUAUACAUAGCCAAUAACCUAAAGGUCCAUAAACUAAAGGCCCAAUAACAUAUGGGCUAACAUGAAGAAUUUGCAUUUGUGUCUCUGAUGUAACAUUUCAAGAAUUUGUAUGUAUUUGCGAAAUGUUUUCUUUUUGUUAUUGAUUGUGUUCAUUCGGUAAGUUUUCUUCUUUUUAUAUUGAUUGUUUCUGUUACAAUUUCUUUCUGAUGUGAUUUUUCUGUGAAUUUUCUUUCUGAAACUAGCACUGGUUGUUUUUAUUGAAACAUUAUUAUGUGAUUAAUGGCAGAAGCGAAUGCAGGAUUUGAAGUUUGUGGGUGCACCAGUAUUGUUAAAGACACGUAUAAGCCUCGAAGAAAGACUCAAAAUGUAUUGAGCGCUCGCCUCGUUUAAUGUGCAGCUUAGGUUAUAAUUUCUGAUACAUACUUUCCCUUGUCAAUGAGUCUUUCUAAAGAGACGAACACUAAACAAUUGAUAUUUCACUUUAUAAAAAAAAAAAUUAUUUUGUUCAUAUAUUUGCCAUAUAUUUGCCAUUCACGCUUAUAUUAUUAAUCUUAUACUAGACAUAUAUUUAUAUCUUUGGUACCUUUAUGUCUUUUUUCGUUAAAUCUCACGCUUAUUUGUACUUUGUGCUUAAACACAAUAAACCUUGAGGUUUUCUUACGCUUAUUGCUUUUGAUAAUAUUGUGUAGCACCAAUAUUAUCUUAAGACGUUAGAAAAACUUUCGAUGUCGAUUAAGGGAUAUUAUCAUAUUCAAUUGGUUGCCAAAGACAUGAACAAUACUGAAAAAAUAAAUCUACAGAACAAAUGAUAGUUUAAACUAAUAACUUCACUUUCUAAUAUGAAGUUUACUUUUAACAUUUUUGAACAAUUAGUUAGUUGUGGUAGCUCAAUGGUUGCGGGUUCAAAUCUCAGCCCAGCAAUUUUUGUUGUGCACAUGCUUCAACCAGCCCACCAAGGUAGUAUUAUCAUUCAUCUUUGGGUGCACUAUCAACUAUAUCCCAAUUUCUUAAGGUAUAUAUGCAUAUAUAUACACAUUUUUUUUCGACGUUAACGGGUGCGCAUGCAAAUUUGGAAGAUACUCUUCUUGGCAAAAACAUGAUUUUUUUUUUUUUGAGUUCUUGUCCAAACUUUUUGGGGAGCAUCUUUUUUUUUUCUUUCUGAAGUAAACAGAAGUUGUAUUCUCGUGCAUUUUGGGGUUUGGGGCUUCGGGUAGGAUGGUUAAGGGGUAAAACAAGAUGGAGAAAAUGGUCUAGUCAUAGAAAGGGGUUCAUGGAACUAGAAGGUUCAGCCGCAGGUUCUUUAUCCUUUUCUUGUAAUUCCUCAUCCCUGGAUUUAGCAUACUUAGGGACAUUUUCGAAUUGAAAUUCCUGUCGAUGCCCAUCCCCGUUUCCAUCCUCAUCAAAACCAACCCAAACAAGCGUAGGAGCCAAUAUCUUAGUACUGCUUCAAGACAGUAGCAGUAUCAUUUGAGUUCAGGUAGGAUGACCCAAACUGGAGCUAUAGGAGUUUCAAUUAAAAUUAGAAGUCCAAUUGAAAAGACUCUAUAGUCUGCCUACUAUCCAUAAUUUUUGUUUAAACCAUACGUUGUUGUCAUUUACAUUCUCAAGGUGAAUAUAUAAAUGUGUGGAAUUGAAGUGAGUGAUUUUUGCCUUACCACUUAACCGAACUUUAGAGUUGAAGCUUCUUCGAAUAACCUCCAUUUUGGGCAUUGUAGAGGAAAAUUUCCCUACGACAGUGAACCUGCAUUUGUGCGCAACUUAACCAUAUAGUCAUCUCUCUUGAAAAUUACAGAUGGGUAGCCCUGUUUUGUGUUAAUCUUGGCAGGCCUUAGUUUGCUUUGGGUGUCCUCCGGAGCAGCAAUGUUAUUCGAUUAUAGUUGAAUAGCAUAGGAGGGUAUAACAGAAGGUGUGAGAGGUUCUAUUUCUGAGCUCGGCUUAGGAAAAUUUCUGUACCAUGGAUCACCACAACUGCCUGAUCGAUCUGUUUGGUAUGAGUGUUGGAUUGGGUUUAGAUAGGUCUGUUUCGUUGAUUUUAGGAGCUGUGGGUUUGUUAAAGUUGGAUGAAAUCGUAAGCAUAUUAUUUCCCGACUUCUCCUGUGGUCUUUUUAGCAGUGCCCAUGGCUUCACCAUUUACAAUAUUGGAGGGAUUGGGAGUAGUCAGGUCUUGCAUGUUUGUUUCUGGGUUAGGAGAAAUCAUAUUGAGGUUGUUGGAUAUGGGAUUUUGGAUUGAAGAGGUAGGGUAUGGUCAGAGGCGGAUUCAGAAUUUCAAACUUGUGGAUUCCCAAGGCUCCUUUCCCUACCACUAAGGUAUCCCUUGGUUUAGUUAUGGGUUCCCACCUAUUAAUAUUUAUAACUUUUGACGAUUUUUCUAUGUAAUUUUAAGCCUUACGGUAGCGGGUGUGGGUUCCCGGGAACCCACACCUCCUACUCUACAUCCGCCACUGGUUAUGGUGUUUCUGAAGACCCAGAGCUAACUGACCGUUAGACUAAGAAAGUCGUGUGUGAGAGGCGUGUUCCGUUUGUCAAAAAAGAACCGUUUUUCCAAAUUAUAGUGUUUUGCCUCACUUCUACUCUUUAGUGGUAUAAUGUGCAAUUAUAACUGCCGUUUUAAUCUUGUUUGAUUCCAUGGUUUUUUAGAAUUCAGCAUUGUGUCCUCUCUCUAUAUCCGUUUUUUUUUCUAGCCUCUCCUACUGUGUAUCCUUAGAAACGGUUAUGUGAUAACUGAGAUUCUCCUUUUGCAGAUGAUAAAUGACAGAGAAGAAAACAGUAGGAUUCUGCUUGAAGCAGCAGAAAAUGGUGAUGUCUCUGCAUUCAAAUGGGCAGUAGCUUUACAUAGAAGCAUUGAUGAACCAUAUGACUUCGGGGAAGGUAGGCUCAGAACACCCCUCAUGAUUGCCUGCUUUCACGGCCAAGUUGAAGUUAUAAAGUUUUUGAUCAAGACAAACUGCGUUUUCGUUAACUUUCAGAGUAGCGAUGGCAUAACUGCCAUCCAAUACUCCAUUCAGGCGCAACUCCCGAGGAUAUCUUCCAACAACUAAUAUUGGCAGCUAGAAAUUUUCUUAUAAACCACUACAAAGUAACACCCUGUCCGUACAGAUUCAUUCACGGCUGGAAAAUUUGUCCGUAUUUGCACGAAGAUCAAAACUGCACAAGGCGUAAUCCUUUCAAAAUAUGGCUACUCUUCAGCCCAGUGCCAUCUCUUCGCACGUGGCCAGUGCAUUAAUGAGUAUAUUGUAGAAGGACACAUGGGAUGGAUGAAUUUCUCUACCACCCGAAUGUUUUCAGAACUAAGCCAUGUAUUCAUGGACGUAAUUGUUGGAACAAGGACAAUGGGGUCUGUAAACAUGCCCAUUAUGGAGAGGAUGAGCUCGUCAAUACCUUUCCCUCUUUCAACCCCACCAAUCUUGACAUUGUGAUGCAGCACUGGCGUACCGUCCAUGAGGAGCUCUGGAAAUAUACAUAGGAUCUUUUCUCUUUUCUCUUUUCUCUUUUCCUUUAAAGUAACUUUUUUCUUACUUUUUUAGUCACUUUUUUCUUCACUUCCUUCACCUUAUUCUUGCAGCUCUGGUUUCCCAAGAAGACUGUCAGGAUUUUAGGAAGCUUAAUACCAGUUUGGUGUGGAGUGCUGAACAACCAGAUAUCUAACUCACGAUUUGACAAUUUGGCUGCAUAUUAGUUUGAACAAGUAGCUGAUUGCAAGAUUUUUUAAGGUUGGUGAAUUCCACAACAUACAUGCAUUCCCAAAAUAGGCAAAUGCAUCUCAUAUUUUUUAUGUUGUGUUUGAAACAAUCUUCAUUGAAUUGGGAUCAUCGGGCCAUGACUUCUUUUGCUUUGGUUGCCUAAAUGCUUAUGAUAUGAAAGGGUCAAACAGGGAAUCAGUAUGUCCCAUGUAACUGGUCAUAGAAACAAUAAAAAGGUUCUUUUUUGUGCUUGUGAUAGGUGGUGUUAAGAUUUUUAUCAACGGUAACUUCUUUGCAUCUUCGCAGGAAUGUUUAGGAUAUGCACUUUAAUUUCUUAUUGUGUUUUGUUUAAUUUCUCCCUAGAGCUAUAAAAUAAACAAGAUCAGGAGCAAUCCUGCAAGCAUCAGGAGGAGAUAAAUUAUACCACAUGGGUAAACUUCUUUUGAAUUUCCUACUGCUUUUUCUGAAUUCUGUGGUAUGUGAUCUAUGCACUAAACUACAACAAAGAUGAGGAAGAAAUAGCCUUUUUCUAAUCAAGAAGUAUGAAAGCUUAUUGCAAGAUCCCAUUUUCUUGCGGUACAUAUUUACAUAUAUUUCGAGUAACGUCGAUAUUUUGAGUGAUUACAUCAAAAGACAGAAAUUUCACAGUGCUUCUCUUCAUUUGAAUCUAAGAUCCAUUUCAAAAAAGUCUAGCUACUAAAUUUGUCUUUUUCUUUAAUAUUAGUAAUUAAUUUACUUGAUAAACCAAGCCUGGGAAAUAAUCCUUAUAUUAGCAACUUGUAAUUAGAAACUAUUGAUUUAGAUAGAUGGCUUGAUGUUAUAUCUUGUUAACGUAGUCUGCAAACCUUUUUUCAGGGAUGGCAGGAUAGAAGUGAUUGGUGGGGAGGAUUCUUGAUUUCUCCUUUGCCAUACAAAUUUUUAGAGGUUGCUUCCUACACAUGUAAUUAUGCUUCAGAUUGUUAGAUUAAUUGUAGAGUUUCCCAAGUGUAUAUGUUUCGUUAUUAUUCUCGAGAAGUUUGCAACACCACAUUUCUUUUAUAAUGACUUGGACAGCGGUAUUUGGGAGCCUUAUUUUCUUAUUUACAUAUUUACAAGUUUCUUAAAGAUGAGGUCUUUGGUAUUAAUAAUGUUAAGUUUAUGAUGAAAGUCAAUGAAACUCUAAAUUUUUAAUUUUAAAAUUCCUCAACUACUUUUUGAUGACAAAGUUUUGUUUCGAGUGUUGCAUUCCAUGAGUUAAGAAUAAGAGGACAACUAACUGCAAUAGGCAUACAUUUAUGAUACUAGUAUUCGUUCCAGCGUGAUGCGUAAAUCGUUUCAAAGCAAGAAAAACCAUCAACACGUUUAUUGGGACUUUGGAUUAUAAGGGCAAAUAAGUUUCCCAAUUUAAGUGAGAAUCCUUCGAGUUUUAAAAAUUAGGUGAAAGGGCCAAAAAAAAAAAUUUAGUUUUUUUUUUAAAAAAUAUUUUUGUUCAAACAACUUUGUGCAGUUGUUGAACAACUUUGAUAGUUGUUCGACAACUACGCGAAGUUGUUCAACAACUUUGCGAAGUUGUUCGAUAACUAUGCGAAAUUGUUUAACAACUGUGCGAAGUUGUUGAGAUAACUAAUGCAGUUGUCGAACAGCUGUUCCAGUUGUUCAAGCGACUUUAUUUUUUUAACUUAAUAAAAUUGUGGGACCCACUUAUCCUCCUUUUUUUAAAUUAAAGACUUGAAAGGGUUUAUGAACUCAUUUUUCUCGGUGUAUUAUGUACCAUUAUCAUACAAAAUUGCUAUACUUCAUAUUGCAUUUAGAGAAAUUUCAUAAUUUCAAGUCCCUUAUAUAUAUUACUCUCUAUUCAAAUGCCAGAAGUAUUGUAAUUUGUCUAGAAUACAAUAAAUUCAAAUACAUCUAGCAGAUUUCGCUUCUCAAAUAGUAUCUCAAUUUUUUGAAUUAAAAGAGACAAAUAAGUUUGUUAAUUAAGUGAGGGUCCUUCAAGUUUUAAAAAUUAAAUAAGAGGACAAAUAUUUUUACAAUUUUUUUUUUUAACAUUUUCGCUCCAACAACUAAAAAGACUGUUCUAAUAACUUUAGAUGUUGGUUGAACAACUAUCAAAGUUGUUCGACAACUAUGCAAAGUUGUUCGACAACUUUGAUAAUUGUUGGGACAACUAAUACAGUUGUAGAAUAACUGUUUCAAUUAUUUAAGCGACUUUAUCUUUUUUAAAUUAAUAAUAUUAUGGGACGUACUUGUCACCUUUAUUUAAUUAAACACUUAAAGGGUCUUUCGGCUCAUUUUUCUUCAAUUUUUUUUUUAAUUUAUAAAGAAGAUUUAUUGGUACCAUACAAUUCAAAGACAAUAUAUUUCUAUUUCUUAGAGAAAAUAAUUUUAGUUGGCGCUGCCGAACAAAGAAAACUAAUAAUAUUGAAGAAAAAAGUUUACUCAAACGAAGGUCACAAAGUAUAGUAAUAAUGACAAUGCAAAGAAGCCAGCUAUUUUAAAGAAAAAAAAAAGACACAACAACUAACAAAGAAAUUCAAAUGUUAAAAAAAAGGCCAAACAAAUACGUGAUUGAUGCAAACUUACAUAGAUGUGAGGUGUAAUUGAACUUGUACUCCCAAGAAAAUAGGAAUUACUAUUUACUAACAUUAUCAAAUCUCGACAAAUUGAUAAAACCAACUUCAGAAAAAAAAAUACAAAAGAAAUGUAUAUGUUAUAAUUAAAUUUACAAACACGAAAGAAAUAAUAUCAUACAGAUUAGAAAAUGAUCCAACAUAAUAGUACAUUUUCAAGAUUUUAAAGCAACAGUCUUGUAAAUCAAGAUCAUCUGGUCCAUUGUAUCUUUAAGGGCCAUCCGACCAGGAAGAUCUUUAACUUGACCUCAAUUAAUUGUUUGGAGUCCUUGUUCUUUGUGUAUUACUCAAUAAUUAACAAUUUAUUAGAUUGUUAGGUAGCUUUAAUAUCAUUAUUCACCACUCUCAUUUUAAUAUAACAUUGAUAUAGAAUUUGCGGCUCUUAGCUUGAUCUAUUAUUUAUACUUUUAAUCAAUUGUUCAAUCAUAUAUUAAUUAUUUAAUUAAUUAAAAUUUUAAAAUUUACUCAAGUAUAAUGUCCUCACAUUAUUACUAUCUCCCCUUUUGAAUACAUUUUUCUCUAUAUAAUAUUUUAGUUAAUUUUUAGACGUUUAGUAUUCUACAUUGCAUACAAUAAAAUAAUGUCAAAUCGAAAAUAGACUUUUUAUUUUUAAUUUGUCUAAACUAUUUAUAAAGGAUUAUUUUAAUAAUUUAUCAUAAAGUAUAUCAAUAUUUAUUUUAGAUAUUUUAAUAAUCUCAUAAAGUUUUUGAAUAUAAAAAGUGAUUUUUUAAAAGGGAGAAGGACAAAAAUUGCUUUUCUCAUAAAAGUUAUUCCACAAAAAUAGCUCUUGUUUUUAAUUCCCACUUAAUAGCCGUUAAAAUAAUUUCAUAUUCUAACCAUCUUCUAAUCACCGCUAAAAAGCCGCAAAAAUCGCUUAGUAUAUUUCUUUCCUUUUCAAUUUUCCCCAAUUUUACCUUAGGAUUCCUUUCCAUUAAAACCUCACAAUUCCUCUUUCAGAUACAACAUAUUACCUUAAAAUACCUUUAUAAAUUGUAUAUAAAUAUAUAAAAAUCCUCCGUCAAUUAGCUUCAUAAAGUUUUUUCCAUUCACCAUUAGCUUCAGUUGAUACAAAAUUAUGGCUUCAAGUUCAGUUUUAGUUCCAAUUAUGCUUCAAUACGGAGGAGAGUGGUUAAGUGAUGUACAGUUUGAAAAGUUUAUAAUCAAUGGAAUACUUUUGAAUUCGAAUUGCAGGUACGAAUAUUUUGUUGAUGAACUAUAUAAGCAGUUGAAUUUAGAGAAAAAUUUCGGUUUAAUGACUAUAAAAUACAUUGUGAAGAGUGGAUCUAUGACUAUUUACAAUGAUAUGAGUGUUAGACUUUAUAUGGAGAUGAAGAAAAGAAAUUGAAUAUAAAUGAAUUUUCAUUGUGUGUAACACUACAAAACACAUUUGAAAAUGAAGAAUCCUCAAUUGAAAAUUUGAUCGAAACAUCUCUAACUGCUAUUCAUGUUCAUCCGAUACCUAUUUCUGAUUAUACAAUGGAAGAUAAUUUUUUUGAGGAAGGAAUGGAAGAACAACCUGAAUUGAUAAUAAAGGAUCCACUUCAUAGAGAUGUUGAAGAAGGACAGCUGUACUGGGAUAAAAAUACAAUAACAAGUGUGAUGAAAUACUAUGCAAUUCGUGAGAGAUUCCAAUUUAAGGUGAAAAGAUCAACAUCAUCAAGGUAUAAACUAUAUAACUUCUCUAUAUGACCUGUAUCAACAGUGUAAAUUUUUUUAUUUUGUUGGAAUAUAGGUGUAAAUUUGAAUAAAUGUUGCAUACAAUAUUGUAACUACUGUAUAGGACCUGUAAAUAAACUGCAUAUGACCUGUGUACAGACUUUGUAACUACUAUAUAGGACCUGUAUAUAUACUGCAUAUAAAGUACUGCAUAUAAACUGUGUAAUUUCUAUAUAACACCUGAUGUACAUUGGAUAAUAAACUAUAUAACUACUCUGUAUGACCUGUGCCAACAAUGUGUAAGUUUUUUAUUUUGUUGGAAUAUAGGUAUAAAUUUGAAUAAAUGUUGCAUACAAUAUUGUAACUACUGUAUAGGACCUGUAAAUAAACUGCAUAUGACCUGUGUACAGACUUUGUAACUACUAUAUAGGACCUGUAUAUAUACUGCAUAUAAAGUACUGCAUAUAAACUGUGUAAUUUCUAUAUAACACCUGAUGUACAUUGGAUAAUAAACUAUAUAACUACUCUAUAUGACCUGUGUCAACAAUGUGUAAGUUUUUUAUUUUGUUGUAAUAUAGGUAUAAAUUUGCAUAAAUGCUGCAUACAAUAUUGUAACUACUAUAUAGGGCCUGUAAAUAAACUACAUAUGACCUGUGUACAGAUUGUGUAACUACUAUAUAGGACCUGUAUAUAUACUGCAUAUAAAGUACUGCAUAUGAAUUGUGUAAUUUCGGUAUAACACCUGCAUAUAUAUUGGAUAUGAACUGUGUACUACAUAUACAUUUAUUGUAUAUAAAUGUAUCUAGGUACUAUUUUAAGUGUAUCAAUCAAAGAUGUAAUUGGACUUUUAGAUCUUCAAGUCAACAAAAUUCAGAAAUUUUCAUGGUGAUAAAAUUUGUCAAUGAUCACAGCUGUCCAAUUGCGGACAGAAUGCUUUCACAACAGCAUGCUACUUCUUUAACCAUCGCUAAAAUGGUGAAGCACAACUUUCUAAAUCUAAAGUCAACAUACACUCCUGUAGAGAUCAUGGAAGAAAUGAGAAACUUGUACGGAAUUAGGAUGAACUACAAAAAAAGCAUAUAGAGCCAAAGAAAAAGCACUUGAACUGGUUAGAGGUUCCUUGCGUGAAUCUUAUGUUAAAUUGCCAGCUUACCUAUACAUGGUAAAUACAACAAAUCCUGGAUCAUUCACAAGGCUACACAAAAUGGAGGACAAUCAUUUUUUAUAUGCUUUUGUCGCGUUGAGCACAUCAAUUAGGGGUUGGAGAUAUUGUAUAUCUACCAUUAUUGUUGAUGGAACUUUCCUGAAAUCUACAUACAAGGGAACAAUGUUGUCUGCUAGUGUGCUGGAUGCAGCAGGUGAGCUUUAUGUAAUUUUUUUAGAUAAAAUUAUGUAUAUGCUAGCAUGCACUGAUAGGCACUUUUCCACUUGUUUAAUCAGGACAUAUUUUGCCACUAGCAUAUGUUAUUGUUGAUUUUAAAAAUGACGCUUCAUGGGAAUGAUUUUUCCACAUGUUUAACACUACUUUUGGUGAAAGAGAAGGCAUGUGCAUAGUAUCUGAUAGGCAUGACAGCAUAUUAAAAGUUGUUGCACUUGUAUAUCCAAAUGUGGCUUACUGUAUAUGCAUCUACCAUCUAUGGAACAACAUCAAGGGUAGGUUUAAGAAGAAUCAAAAGCAAUUAAAGGGAAUCUUCUUUACAAUGGCUAGAACAUACAUAAAGGCAGACUUUGAUAGGCUUAUGAAAGACAUAAAAAAAAUCAAUAAUAAGGUGAAGGAGUAUCUGUUUGAUAUAGGCUAUGAAAAAUGGUCCAUAGCUCAUUCCCAUGUCAACAGAUCGAUGUUCAUGACUUCAAACAUCGCAGAGCGCCUAAAUUCAGCAAAUAGAGAUGUAAGAGACCUGCUAAUUAAAAAAUUUCUAGAAUUUAUGAUGGAUCUAGUCAUGAGAUGGAAUAAUGAACAUAGACAACAUUCAGAAGCAAUAUUUAUAGAACUGGGAAACAAAUACAAUAUAAUAAUGAGAGAAAAUUUCAUUUUGUCAGAUAAAAUGAAGGUAUUACUUCUUAUUUCUACUUCACAGACACUUACAUAUUCUAAUAUGCACACUAUUUACUAAUAUAUUUGUACAUUACAGGUGAUGGGUUCUACUCACUAUUCUUAUAUAGUCAUUGAUGAAACUGAAAAACGAAACAUUGUUUGCAUACGUGAAAAAAAUGCUCCUGCCUACAAUUUUAAGUAGAUGGCAUACCUUGUCCACAUGCUAUGGCGGUGCUAAAUUACACGCAUAUGGACUUACAAAGCUAUUGUUCUCCAUAUUACACAAGAGAAAACUUCUUGAAAUCAUAUGAACUUCUAGUUAUACCACUUUUUGAUGAAACAAUUUGGCACAUUCUACCAGAGAUAUCAGCUAAUAUAGUACUGCCACCAAUCUGAAAAUCAAACCAGGAAGACCAAAAAAGAACAAUUGGGGAAAGGGCAUUAUGAACUACUUUAAGCAAUAAAUUUCAUGUGGGCGCUGUGGAAAAAUAGGACACAAUCGAAGAACGUGUGGAAAUGCUCCAACAAUAAUAGGAUGUUGUUGCAAGAACACUUUUAUCUUUCCCAUUUUUUUUCUUGAAAAAGACUAUUAUUUUUAUAGAAAUGUAAUAGCAACAAUAUUAUUUUACUUCAAAUGCAACACUUUCAGUUUAUAGAAUAUUGCUUUCAAUUUCAAUUUCAUUUCAACUCUUAUAGAAAUCUGUGCAUUAUGGGUUUCAUUUAGCCACAUUCUUUGGUGAGGUGCACUAAUCAACUUCUCUGAGCUGGGGGAGUGUAAUUUUUUGGCUAUAAUUCCUAAAAAAUGCAUGUCAUCUCUAUCAAUCAUGUAUAAUACCUAUAUACAGUUUGAAUAUAUAUAUAUAUAUAUAUAUAAGAACUAGUAUUUAUCUUUUGAAUAAAAUUAGCAAAUACAUAGCACCUCUAUAUUUUGAAUAUAACUACUUUUAUAAAUUACAACAAUAUAUAAGUGUUAUAUAUGAUUGGGAUAAAUGUAUGAAAUUAUAGAAAUAGUGUGCUUAAACUGUGUAACAACUGUAUAGAAAUUGAAUAAAUGUUGCAUAUAUACUUCAUAUCAACUGCUGCAUUUAAACUGUGUACCUACUGCAUAACCACUGCAUAGGACCUUUAUAUAUACUACAUAUAAAGUGAUGCAAGAACACUUUUAUGUUUUCCAUUUUUUUUCCUUAAAAAAAGACUAUUCUUUUCAUAGCAAUGUAAUAGGAACAAUAUUAUUUUACUUCAAAUGCAACACUUUCAGUUUAUAGAAUAUUGCUUUCAAUUUCAUUUCUACUCUUAUAGAAAUUUGUGCAUUAUGGUGUUUCAUUUAGCCACAUUCUUUGGUGAGGUAUACUAAUCAACUCCUCUGAGCCGAGGGAGUGUAAUUUUUUUUUACUACAAUUCCUAAAAAAUUGCAUAUCAUUUGUGCCAAUCAUUUAUAAUAUCUAUAUACAGUUUGAAUAUUUGUAAGAACUAGUAUUUGUCUUUUGAAUUAAUUAGCGAAUGCAUAACACCUCUGCAUUUUGAACAUAACUACUUGUAUAAACUAUAUAACUACUUUAUUACAACAAUUUAUAAGUUUUAUAUCUGGUUGAUAUAAAUGUAUGAAAUUGUAGAGAUAGUGUGCUGAAACUGUGUAACAACUGUAUAGGAACUGAAUAAAUAUUGCAUAUAUACUGCGUAUCAACUGUGAUCAACAUAAACUAACAUUUCAGCAUCAAUUGUACAAAAUUGUACCAAUUACCAAAACAUAUAGUAUUCAGCAUAAUAUUUCAUCAUAAGAAUCUCCCAGUGUAUCAACACAAAAUAAAAACAACCCUAACCAUUUCAGACUAAAAAUAUAUUUCACAUCUAUGCUUCAAAGACAUUUCUAACUAAAUUUGCUGUACCCCAUCAUUUUUCUUCAACAAUAGACCAGUAGAUUCAUCUUCACUAACUGCAUAUUGUCUUUGUUUCUUCUUUCCAUAAUCCCAUAACAACACACCAUACCGAAUACAAAUAGAAUCAAUAUCAUCUAGAUGAUUGGAAAUUUCAAGAUCAUCAAGUAAAUACUCAGCAAAGGAUGUAACAUAUACACCACAGUACCUGCAAACAUAAUACAUCAUCAGUAUAAUUCACAAAAAAGUAUGUAAAAUGAGCAAUUGAAUGUGCGGUAAAUGUGUGACGUGUUAGCUUGAGUUGGCAGUCCAUCAACAAUACGAAUAUAAAAAAAUUUAGCCAGUGAAAGUCCAUCGCUACUACUUUCCCAAAAUCCAAUACAAGAAAGAAAGUGUGGAAUUAAUUCUGAAUACGCUGCAACUAAUUUCUAAACAUGAACGACAUGCCUUGCACCGCGCAUUGAAUCAUACACAUAUAUGCACUAAUAAUUAAAAGACAGCCUCGUCAAAAUUCAGUGAAAGUUCUCAGCAAGAUUAAUUGGGAAAAGAACAUUGUCAACGCUAUUCUAUGGGAUGUUGCAUCUUAUAAAAAAUCCAAGCAUGUACUCUACGAUUUGAUGUUCUUGAGUGAUAAGUGUUAGAUCUUUAUCAUUUUCCACAAAUCGCUUAUCAAAGUCUGAAUCAAGUAGUUAAACCAACAAUCGUUGGUUGUAAAUUUAACUGAAUCACAAAUAGGUCGUAUUUUGACUUCUUUCACAAAUAGUAAAAGAUAACAUCAAUACGCUGAAAAUAAGAACAACAAAACCACAUUAAAAUGCUAAAAAUGAAUACAGAACACUAAUUUAAAUCUGAUAAAUACAAACUACUUAUAUAAAAUGCAUCACAUCAACUACUGCAUACAAACUGUGUACCUACUAUGUAGGACCUGUAUAUAUAUUGCAUAUCAACUACUGCAUUUAAACUGUGUACCUACUGUGUAACCACUGCAUAGUACCUGUAUAUACACUGCAUAUAAAGUGUUGCAUAUAAACUACACAUAAAGUACUGCAUAAAUAAUGCAUAGAACUUAUAUAACAUGUAUCAUAUACAAAAAUUCAGUAUUCAAAUUAGCUUAUCACUAUCAAGUACAAAAAUAAAAGAUAUAUAACCUACUUAACUAACAAAUUCAUUACUUAUUGAAUCAGUUAAGGGUACUCCUGGAUAUGCCAAUGUGAAGAACCACUCUUUCAUUUUAACAUUAUCAAUUUCAUAGUCAAAAUAUUUUGAAAGAGCAUUGACAGAAUUUGAAUAAACAGGCUUGUAAAAAAAUGUUACAAAAAUGUAAUAUAUGACCAAAAAAAGUAAAGAAAAAAGAAACAACAAACAGAAACUUACAUCUGUUUAACGUGCAACGAUCUUGCAACAAACCUGUUAAACUGUAAUGUCACUUUCAAAUCAUCAAUUCAUUUCGUAAUACUUUUCACAAAAGGAUGCUUUAUAGACAAGACACCGUUACUUGGUUGAGCAUUCUCUACACGCUUGGAUGAUUGACCUUCAAAUUUGCCACAACCAGAAUCAAAUUUUGACAAAAAAGGCGAUUCACAUACUGCCGUUGGCUUACAUAAUCGGCGAACAAUAACAGAUGUUUCACCUAACAUAACAGACGCAACCACCAUGUUUUCCUCAAUCCCUUUAACAUGAUCACUUGCAGUUUCAUUAACCUUUCUAACAUUAUCACAUACUAAAUUAGUUGCAUUAGUUGUUGCAACACUCUUAUCGUGUUGAGUGAACUUAGAAAUUUUAGCGUCUGGAAUUUCUAACCAGUUAAGCUCAUUCUGGCUAAGCACUGCCACAUCACCUUCUUUUUGUGUUUUUUGAUCAUGAAAAGGUUGAGUAAAUUUAGACAUUUUAGAAUCAGUAAAAUUGGACCAAUCACUAUUAACUUGAUUAUUUCUACCCUCCCUUGUAUCCUUAUUUUCACCGGAGCUUGUAUGAACUUCAAAAAAUAAAAAUUUGAAAAAUUCUUCCAUGAACCAUCCUUCAAAGUUUCAUCCACAGAAUCAACAACGACAUGACCAACUAUACAAUCACCUACAAAAUUAACUUUUUCUCCAACGUCAUACACCAAAUGAACAAAUACGGCACCACCUACACAAUCUAUUUUUUUCCUACAUCAUCCAUCAAAUUGUCACGUCUAUGAUCCACUUUCGAUGCAACAAUAUUUUGUUGUCCCACAUUAGUUGGAUCAUUAACAUGAUCAUCAUCCAUACCACCAACAUUAGGUGUCUUAUCAUCUUUUACAUUUGAAGUGUCACCAUUGUUAUCACAAAUUGAUGUACCAACCUGUACAAAAAAACUUUGUAAAAUAAUUACAAUAGUGUAUAUAAGAUUUUUUAAAAAAAGAAAAAAAUCAAGAAAGAAUACCUUGGGUACAUUCUUUAUAUCUAGAGCUCGAAAAAUCAAUUCAAAUGAGGAUUUCAUAAACUUCUCCAUCGAGAAAAUCUUUUCCGUUAACUAAACAUGAAAGGAAAAAGUCAAAACAUCAUUUAGCAAAAACAUACAAAUAUUACUAAAAACCUUCGACAUACCACUUUAACAUCACUUCUCAAGAGUGCCAAUUCAUUAUCUGAGCUCGAAUUACUACAAUCUUAUUUACUGGUGCUAGGCAAAUUAACAGAGUGCACAACCGCAUUCACAAGUUUGAAAUCAGGUAAUUGAAGGAUUGUUUUUUCAAGAACUAUCGGCGUAAUGUUACGCAACACAACCUGCAAAUACAAAAUAGCACUUGACAUUUAAGAAGCACAUAACAAUUUAACAAAACAUAUAUAAAUUACAUUUUAAAACAACGAUAUACCUGAUCUUGCCUAGUAUAGAAAAAUGCAGACUUGACCUCUUUAUAUGUUGGUCUAUACUUUACAAAUUAAUUCAGUAUACGAGGCACACUAUCGCCCACUUGGUCAGCAAGAUGGCCAUCAGCAUAAGGACAACACUCUAAAACCAACACUAAAAUGCAAGAGGCAAACCAGCACAACGAUACAUAGUUUUUCGUUGAUAAACUUUAGACUUCAUUGACUCCAACAUUAGACGAAAACAUAAUUUUCCCAAGGAAAUGUUUCAUAGUUCCCAGAUUCAAUCAAUAAGAAAUUAUUCUUAUUUAUAACAUCACUAUACGUGAUAGAAAAAAGAAAGGAAUGAAUGAAGAACAAAAUAGAAAUUUGUAAAACAUCUUCAUCACAUCGCCACUUUUUGUCCAUGAAACACUCUUCUAAAUCAAGCUUUGUGACCUUGGACUUUCCUGGAAAAUACAACUCCAUCAACUUACUUUCUUCAGAAGCAGCAAACUCAUUAUUGUAAUUGCCAGUAUAUUUUAAGCUACUAAUUAUAGCAAACUCUUGUAAGACGAACCGUAACCUAGUGUUAUUUACUUUAAUCCGGAUUUCAUAAUCUCUCUCACAAACAAGUUUCCUAAGCAACAUUCCAUGGAUAAAUUGAUUUUGAGAAAGAACACUUGGUAAAGAUAAGAAAUACCUAAAGCAAAUAUUCUUAAACAAAUCAAGUUGCUUCUUGUCCAACUUAGAUUUCAAGGCAGUCACAAUACCACAGUUUGUGUGCAUGCUGAGUUGACACUUAUAAUGACCAGAUGGACCAAGAAACAAAUCCCAAACCUACAAUAAGUAAGUGUACGUUUAGGUAUAAAUAUUUCAAAAAGCUACAUAUAUUAUGCAUACAGUAUUCAUUGCAAUAGUGUUGCUAAUUUUACACAGUUACAGUUUAAAUAUUCAAACUAUACACAGUUGUUAUACAAUGCUGAUACACAAAUAGUUAUACAACCACUUUACACUAAAUUUCACAAAAAUCACUAUCCAAUAUAUUUCAUAUACAACGAUGACACAUAUUAUAUACAACAAUAACACACAUAUUUCAAGCAUACAGAAAUUCUACUAAAAAAGUCAACAUCUAUCAGACAUAAUUAAUACAGAGCAAGCAUAAACAAUGUACCUCAAAAUCAGUUAAUUUGGGUAUUUUUCUCUUCCAAAGAGCUUUUUUACCUUUCUUUAUGGAUGAUUGAGCAUCAUCUUCUCGGUCAUUUGAUGAAUGAUUCCUUUUUUUCAUUUUUUUGGGAGGAACAACAGUAUCUCCUUCAUCAUUCACACAUAUCUUCUCCUUUCCUUUAAAUGACUUAUCAUCAUCUUCAUCAUUUUUUGAAUCACUGUUUUUUUUUUUUCUUUUUGCGAAUAACAACAAGAUUUGAAUCAUCACUCACAUCUGUAUGUGUCUUUUUUUUAGCUGAUUUAUUUUGUUUCGCCAUUGAUGGAUCACCUACUAAUUUACCUUGAGACCUAGUAACUCGAUUAGGAGUAGCAUGAACAUUCUUCAAAUCCUUCAAUUGAACAUCACGAUUUGUUAAAUCUUCAAAAUCAUCAUCACUAACAACGAAAUUAGGAUCAUAUCUUACACAUUUACCAGCUAAUUUCGUAUCAAUAUUAAUCUUUUUCUUGAUUUUCAUCUCUACAAAUGUUGGAAAAUCCUAUUCUGAAAGAGCACUCAAAAAAGGUAACUGUAGGUAUCAGUUAAUGCUUUUUUUCUGGCAAAAAGGACAACUGAGAAGCUUUCACCUUUAGAGUGUGCCUUAUUAAAAUAAAGGGCUAAUAAAUGACAAUUAAAUCAUUCAAAAUGUUACUUUUGUCCAAAACGUGAAACAUGGGUCAUUAUUGGUCAUUAUUUUUUCAAAGGUGAUACGUGAUGUCCUUUUCCCUUUUUAAAAAUCUUUUGACUAAAAAAGAGUAAACAUCUAAACAUUUAAGUAAAAUUACUACUGCUGCUCAAAUGAGGGAAGCAAUGCUUGGUUGUUACUUACAUGGCAUCAAAAAUACUGAUCGGUCUUUUUCUUACAUGCUUAGAUAGAAAGAUAAAUUUAUUCAAAUAAAAAGGUACUAAAUACAUAACUAAAAGAAAAAAACAAAAAGAUUGGAUAACACAUAAAUAUAUCAGAAAAUUUUUUUGUUUUCUUAAAGUUUUUUUUUAAUUGUUUUAUAUGUCAUCCCUUGUUAUAAAGUGAAAAUAGAAAGUAGUAGACUCUGAUUGAUUCUUUGCAUUAACUCCUUGAACCCCGGUGAAUCGAAUUAUAUUGAGAUUAUUAUAGAUAAUGUUGAUUAAUAGAGAAAAUAAAAUUGAUCAUUACUUCAGUAAACUACACAGUAUAAUUAAGACAUUAAGUUCAUGUUCCACUUUAAUGUAUAGUAACAAAUAAGAAAUUUCUGUAAUGCAGAAUCAAUUUGCGGUGAUAUCCACUUUAAAAAUCAGACAAAUUAUUUAUAAGGAAAUGUUAUUUUUGUAAUGAAAAUAUUUAGAUGUGUUAAUGAAUCAAUAAUACUCAUGAAAACCAAAACAAUUAAUAUAUGAUAAUUGCAUAAAAAUCUCAAAUAUGCUUAUUUCUUAUGGAUUUCAUAUAAAUUUAUUAUGAUAAAGUUUUUACUUGAAGAUCAAAGUCAUAAAAAAUACGCAUCUUGACUGUCUGCCAAUAAAAUUUUAAGAUUUUAAUCAACAAAUAAUUUUAGAGAUUUAUGUAUUGUGUUCUCUACCAACCAAAUCAUCUAGCAUGAAGUUAAUGUCUUUAAUAGACAUAUGUGUUUUUCUAACAAUAGAAGAACUUAAUAACUUUCAUGAAUUUAAAAUCUAAUUUGUCCAUUUAAGGAAUUGCAAUAUACAUGAGGCAUCCACGUCUCAUAAAUAGUGUUAGUACCCAAAGAAGCGGGGGUAAAUUUCAUCCAUGGUCAAUUAACUUUGUAUUUAUUACCCAAAAGUCACUUUUCUUUCAUUCAUUUCAUCCAUGGUCACUUAACUUUAUAUCUAUUGCACAAAAGUCAUUUUUCUUUCAUUCAUUUCAUCCAUCGUCAUUUAACUUCACUCCGACCAUCACAAAAGUCACUAUGACCGAAUUUUACAAUAAUUUCAUCGAAAAAAUGAUGUGGCAACCUUAAUUAGUUCUUAAUUUUUAAUUUUAGUGAAUAUAUGAUAUAUUACUCAUAUCUUGACUCUUUUUAUACAUGCACAACCCAAUUUUCCUUGUGGAUUAUUUAAUGAAAGAAUAUCUAUUUCUAAAUAGAUUAGAUUACCUAACGAAGACUAUGUUCAUAAAAAAAUAUAUAUUCCUAAAAUCUUCUAAAGUUGAGACAUGUGUUGGUAAAUUAUUUUUUUCGACUAAUAUAUUAUGGCAUGUAGUUGAUAAAAUUAUUUUUCUCCCUAAAAAAUUGUGACAUGUAGUUGAUAAAAAAAAAAAAUUCAUACAUUCUUUUUCUUACCACUUGAGUCUUUGCAUUCAGUACAUCAUCAUAAUAUGAUAAACUACUCUAUUUAUUGAGUUUGUCUUUGAAUUUUUAAUUGUUUGACUAAUCGAUUAAUUCUCUAAAAAAUUUUAUUACAAUAUUCAAUUUCUGAUAAAUUACAUAUUGUUUAAUUAAUUUAAUUGAUAAAUCUAAAAAUUAGAUAUCCUAUAAUUUCUUUAUCUAUUAAAGUACUUAUAUUUUAUAACUUUGUUUAACAAAACUGUACGUUAAUAUCACAUUAUUUGUACAAAUUUUGAAAAUACUUAUUCAAUGACACAAUUGAAAAGAUUUUAUUUUAAAACUAUCUUUAGCAUGUUGAUUUAUCUUCAAAGAAUUAAAAUAUUUUUUUUAAAAAAAUAAUAUCAUACAUGUAUUUCUAUUUUAUGUGUUUUGAAGAAUUUAUCUCGUUUAUCACUCUUUUUCGAUUGUAACAUCUCACAAUCCUCUUCUUAUCCCAAUUAAUUAAAAACUUUUAUUUAUUUAUUUUCUUCAUUGGUUUCCAGCAAAUAGCUUGUUACCUUUUGAUUUUCAGCAAAUAGCAUGUUACCUUUUGAUUUCCAGCAAAUAGCAUGUUACUUUCACUUACCAGCAAAGGUCCAUCAGUUUCUCACUUUUCUUUUAAAGUUUUUAUUACUUUCCUCAAUUUCUUAUAUUAAACCACCCCCUCUUCAUCCACUAGUUUUCACAAAGUAAUAUCACACACAAUAAUCCUAAUCACUUAAUUUCUAUGAAGCUCCAUAAAAUUGGCUCAAGGGAUCAAGCUUUGUUCCUCCUUACGAUCUAAAGUCCUUUAAACGUUUGAGGUAUGUAAAGCCGUCUCUUUACAUCUGUAAGUUCUAUUGUUUUUCUGAUAAUCUUAACAUCUCUAGUUUUCUGAGAAAUCAGGACAUCCUUAGAUUCAUCCAUUACAUUAGUUCUUCAAAUAUGUUUUCUGGAAAUUCACUAUAGAUCAUGACUACCUAUUCAGUUUGUUUUGUGAAACUCAUUAAAGCUUGCUUUGAUAGAAGCAUUGUUCCCUUUUGGGUCAUAGCUGAUAUUUAUUCCAGAUUGUGUAUUCACAUGCCAAACCUCUUUAAGUUUAACAAGUAUGUGCAACUGUUAGCAUUGUUUUGGUUGUAUCUGUUCUCCUUUUAUAAUCGAUAACUGAAUUAACAGAACUUAUCAUGACCAAAAGAGAAUUUCAAAAAGAUAUGAAAGCUGCGAGAGUACAGCAACUUUUUAGUUGGGAAAAAGCAUUGAGGAACUUAACUCUCAAUAAAGUAAAGAAUAGUCACCAGUUAUAGAAUAUUUAAUAUGCAAAACUACUGCAUCUGUGGGUUCAUUUGGAUAGCUUUCAAGGAUCUACCUUCUCUACUAUAUCUCUUUUUAUUCGCUCAAUUAGUGUCUCUAUGGACACGUUUACCUUUCUGGAAAUUUUUCAGUUCCUAAUUGUCCAAAGCUGGUACAUAUAAUUGCUCCCAUAAAGUGCUGUCACAAUUCCCUUUUUGAGUUACUUCCUGUGGAUUCUUUUAAAUGCUUUUCAAUACAUCCUAUUCCACCCUCUUAGAUGUGAACGACCACAAUUUUCAUAUCUUCAAGUAACCCAUUUUGUGCGCUUACAAUCAGAAAAGAUGUGUAAAUAAGUCUCACAGAUCUACCUAUUCCAUAGGUUAUAACUAAUAUCAUCACUCUGGAUAGUCUUGUGAACUAGCAUUUAUAAGCCAUAUUCACGAAUUAUAAAUACGAACCAUAAAAUUAACUAUCAUUACUCUCCAAUAUUAAUAGUGUUAAUUCAUGAAUAUUGUAACACCAUUUCGGGCUAGAACAAAAAUCGUCAUUUCUAUGCGUAGAUGAUCGAAAAGCCAUAAAUCCUGUUCAAAUUUGGAAUUUUAAUCAAUUAUAUUGUGUGGGAACCUAUUUGAGCAUGAAUUGAGAUCUUAGAUGUCCCCUAACUCAAGGAUGAGUUGAAAGCUUUCCUAUCGUUCAAGUUUGAGUGAGCGUAAAAACUUGGGUCAACUUCAAUCAACCAUAACUCUUUGUACAUAACAAAUUAGAGGUCCUACUAUAUAUCAAAUGAAAUUUCUUUGAAUUAUCUUUCCAACGAUAUCAAUUUCACCAAAAUUCGAUACUCGAGCAAAAAGUUAUGGCCAUUUUCGUGUCUGAGACAGUAGCAUCGGACAAUUAACGUACGACGCACGCUCUGUCGCACGCACCCAAUUUCCAGGUCCUUUUUCACAUUUUUAAGGACAAAAGUGGUAUUUUUCACAUCCUAUCCAGCCAUAAUACGGGAUUAAAUCCCUCAAACGCCAAAUAAGAUCAUUCUCUCUCAAAAUCACCAAGAACACUUCUUAGGGUUUCAACCCAAAGAUCAAAAUAUCUUAAGAUUUCACCAUGGGUUUUCAAUAAUUCUUCGAGAUUUGGAAUCCCCAUUGCGAGGGCUACAAACAUCACCCAUCAAUUGUUCGAAUAUCAUCCCUAAAUACGAGUUCAUUCAAGAGUCAUAAAUUAAGGUACAUAGGAUUUUCCUAAAAUUUCAUGGGCAAAGAAACCAUCUUUAAUCCAUGCUAAUGGUUUAGAAAUCAUGAUUUUUAAGAAAGAGGUUUUGAAUUUACUAUUACUAGCAUGUUUUAGAAGCCUUGAUCAGUAUUGUUUUGGUCUCUAGGCCUUCCCCCAAAUUGAUUUGAAACUCUAUAUAUAUGUAUGCAUGUGUUUUAAGGAUGAAUAUACAAUUGAAGGCAUGAAUCCUAAAGAACCCCUCUCUUAUUAUGAUUUUUCCCAUCUUUUAUAUGAUAUGAAUUAUGUUUGAAAUAUCUUGAUUAUUGCUAUGGCUUGAAUAUGAUUUUGAAUCCAAAAAAAAGGGUUGUGCAUGUUGAUAAACGUUGAAUACACUUUUACUGAAAGAAUUGCAUGUUUGCCAAAAAUACAUGACCACCACAUGGUUAUUGAAAGAAUGACAAUCUUAGCAUGGUUUUGACUUGUGCUUUUGAAACAUGAAAUUUCCUAUACUAUUUGCAUGCUUGGGUGGUCCAAAUUAUGUUCUAAGGAAAGAAUCAUGCAUGGUACGAUAUAGCUCAGAAAUAGGACUUGCAAGUCUUGGUGUGACGACACUAACUCAGUUAAAGCCAUAGUAAUUCAGAAAAGAAUAGAACAUAUGUUUGAAAUCAGAUUGUUAGAUUAUGAAUUUAGAAAGAUGCAUGUUUAAAAAAAGUUUAAAAUUGGACUUGAAGGGAGUUAGAUGGUUACCCGAAGAAAGUACGAUUGAAAGACUCUAUGCUAGAAACCCUGAUUUGCCGACACGGGAUUAUGGUACCAGUCUUUGUGAUCUUGUGUACCUUAAUUCAUGUCGUCCCAAAUUGAGACUAUGGUUAGGAACCCUACUUGGUGAUCUUGUGCAUUACCAUGACAAGUUGAUUUGAUUAGGGAUUUUGGCACCCUUCUGUGUGAUGUUGCGUGUCCCUCUUAUACAUACUCCAAUCCUUGCGGCAAACUUGGAUCAGGGGCUUGUCCGCUGAAUCAAGGGUGAUUUCAUAUACUCCAUGGAAUUACAGAUUGUAGGGUGUACCAUCUUUCUCAGAAGUAAGACAAAGAGUGAGUCAUGGUUUCAAAGAAAUGUUUCAAAGUCUUUAAAAUGUGUCCAUGUGUUUUCAUAUGUUAUAUGUAAAAUGUUUUAUGAAUUUCUCUCACUUAUGUUAUAUAUAAAUAUAUUAUUUUGUAUUGCUCUACGUACCAGUACAUCUGUAUUGACCCCCUCCCUUCUAGGUUCUAAGGCUCAAUCUAGGGGUCUCGAUAAUUAGUAAAUUUUAUCUAGAUAGAAGUACAGAGUUCUGUGGUGAGCCUUCUAUGUUUCAGAAUGACUAGUUUACUUUAUUCAUUUAUCAUUAUUAUGUGUUGGGUCUACUAGGGGCCUUGACCCAAUUUUCAGACAGUUGUCAUUUGAUCACGUAGUAGAGAUUUCACAGACUGAGUCAGAUAUAACUCAGAUAUUUUGAAUUACAGUUUUCAUUAAGAUUUGAAUUUAGAUUUAAUGACCAUGAUUCCAUUUCAUUAUGUAUUUCUACAUUAUAUUUUUCAUAUGAGGACAGUGUAUGAGAUUACAAGUUAGAAGGGUAUCUGGGCCUUCAUGGUUUGGGAUGCUCGUCACGGCUAGGGCUCUGGAUUGGGUCAUGACAAACUUGGUAACAUAGCACAGUUCAUGGUCUUAGGGUGUCUGCAAAAUCACGUCGGGUAGAUUCUUGUUUAUGGGUGUGUAGUGCGCCACACUUAUAGGCAAGAGGCUACUAGGUGUUUUGGAAUGUCUCUCUUUCUUCAUAUUAUACUUCGUUCUAUGGAGUCAGAAUGUUCCUCUUACAUAUUCUAAUUCGUGCUAUGGUAUUGCCCAUACGAAAGUAAAGUUAUCCCCAUUCUUUCGUUAUUUUGAUGUGCUCAGAUAUGUCUCAUUAUUUGGGUGAUUCAGGUGCAGAAGUUUAGAGUCUAAAUGGUAUGGUCCUUUUUGAUUAAGCCAUAUAAGAGUUUAAAAUUUGUGCAAGGACUUGAGAAGAGUCUGUUAGUGCUCCAAGGUGUAUUGAUUCUAGUCUGUUAGUGCUCUAAGGUGUAUUGAUUCUAGUGUGAACUUUGAUUCUGAUGAAAUCGUACUUUUUAGCCUGCAGUAUUAAGUGUAUUCAUUUAAUACACCUUGUAACUUGAUACCUAUGUGGCUAAAUACAUUAUGUAAUUUAUGACUUCUUGAUCAGAUUUCGAGUAUGGUUGUUUUCAUGAUGAGAAAAAAAAGUGUCCUUGGGUAAAACAUUAGAUGUAAGAGAGACCUUUCUUAGUUUUAGAACAAAACCUAAGAACAAGUCAACUAUCAAGAUGAAGGUUCCUAAAGAAAAAUAGAUUAUAAAAUCCUAAAAUUAUGACUAGCAUGAUUGUUUUAAGUGUGGCAUCUUGUACCUUCGAUUUAGGCUUGAAUAUGUUAAGAAUAUGUAAUUAGAACCAGACUUUAGCAUAUGUAUGUGCCCAUUUGAGUUGGUAAUAAUGAAGUGUGAUAUUCAGAGAAAAAUGGGGUAGCUUUGAAAGGUGUUGCUGAAAUCGAAGGCUACUAGUAUUAAAUGUGAAAAUGCUCUUAUUCCUAUGUGUAAUGUCCCACUGUUUCAUGUCAUAUAACUUCAUUUCGAAUGGGAAUAUGCCUAAGUCUUUAUCAUGUCAUUCAUGCUCUAGGAACCCAAUUCAGAUAACUAAGAUACCCUUAUGGUUCAUGCAUAUGAUAUUCCAUAAAUUCUUGCAAUUCGCUUUUUCAACUCAAGCCCCAUGGUACACCUGUCUUAAAUCGUGAUUAUGUCUAUUGUCGUUGGUUUAUAAUUUAUAUUUUCUCUUGGUGAGUUUCUUUUUGGAGUUUUGACAUUAUGGUGAGAAAUAUAAUAAUAAGAAAAGUUCAUUUCUAGAAGUUUCAUUUCCUAAUGCUAGUGUGUUGAGUUUUACACGAAUAUAUAACCUCCAUUCGAUAACGAAUGAACCCAAGAGGGGGAUAUUGUAACAUCUCACAAUCCUCUUUUUUUCCUAAUUAAUUUAAAACUUUUUAUUUAUUUAUUUUAUUCAUUGCUUUCCCGCAAAUAUCAUGUUACCUUUUGAUUUCCAGCAAAUACCAUAUUACCUUUUGAUUUCCAGCAAAUAGCAUGUUACUUUCACUUUUCAGAAAAGGUCCAUUAGUUUCUCACUUUCUCUUUAAAGUUGUUUAUGACUUUCCUCAAUUUCUUAUAUCAAACUACCCCCUCUUCAUCCACUCAUUUUCACAAAGUAAUAUCACAUACAACAAUCCUAAUCACUCAAUUUCUAAGAAGCUCUAUAAAAUUGGCUCAAGGGAUUUUUUUAUGGAAAUACGGAGAGCAGAAAGCGCAGAAACCGUACGCAAACAACAAUGAAGAUCCACGACGAGCAAAGCCGAAUUUCAUAGCACCGGAUGAAGAACAACUUGUCCAUACUGAGUAGAUCUUUAUAGCUUGAGCCUGUCAAAGCAAUCCUUAGUAGUAUACUUAAAUUUUGUUGAUGUAUUUGUUGAGAUCUGUACCCAUAGCAAUUUUUUUUACAUUUUAUUUAUUUGUUGACUUAUUCAGCUAAAUUAUGAAGGCUUCGAUUUAUUUUAUUUUGGCUAUGAAUUUUAUUUAUUCCUUAGAUUUGAACUUAUUAAUUGAAAAGGAAUACUAGAUUCAAAUAUUGCAACAGAUAAUGUAUCUGUUGCAACAGACGACACAUCUAUUGGAAAAUUCGAACAGAUUUAGACAUAUGUUGCAAUAGGUAGGUGAUCUAUUGGAAUUUAUCAAACAGGUCUUCCCACUGUUGCAACAGAUGGACUUUAGAUAAAAACAUCAAGAUAAUGCAACAGAUGACACAUCUAUUAAAAAAAAAAUAGAUUUAGACAUAUAUUGCAACAUAUGGACUUUAUCUGUUACAACAGACGACACAUCUAUUGGAAUAAUCGAACAGAUUUAUACAUAUGUUGCAACAGGCAGGUUAUCUGUUGAAAUUUAUCAAACAAGUCUUCCCACAUAAAAAUUCAACUUUUGUUGGACAUACAAAAUUGACACUACGUUUAAAAAGGUUAAAGUGAAUUGAAAUUAAAAAGGUGCAACCCAUCGAAGGUGUUCAUUUCAAACACCUAAAAUAAAAUAGGCAUCAAGUAGACAUGUUCAUUUUAAGGACGUAAAAUAAAAUAGGCAUCAAAUGUGUUAGUGUCAGUCCUGGCACAUUUCGCUAACUUGCUGUCACUUGGCCCCCAACGGUCAUUUUUUUCUCUAUUGUCUUAUAUAUUCUUCUUCCUCUUAAAAUUUAACCCUAAAUUUCCAAAUCUUCUUAUUUAUCAUCAUCAUUUUUUAUCUAUCCAAAUUUUUUAAAUUAUUACUUUCAUUUUUUCCAACUGACCUUGACAAUGUCGAGAGCAUCUUCCACUGUUUUUUGUGAUAAAGAUUUUUGAUAUUGUAAGUGCGGUCAUGAAGCUAUGUAAAGACUUCCUUGGACUAAACAAAAUUUGGGUCGUAGGUUUUUUACUUGUAAGAUUUCAAAGGUAAUAUUUUUUUAUUUAAUUAAUUGAUUAAUUAUUGACUUGUAAUUGUUUUGUAAUUGUGUUCUCUUUUUUAUAGAAAUUGGGUGAAUGUGAUUACUUUGAUUGGUAUGAAGAACGGCACCCUUCACAAUCAAAUUAUGUAAUCUGGGGUUUGUUGAACAAAAUCAAGGCUUCUGAAGAGAAACAAAAUCGAGCAAGAAGAUACUACAUUGUUGUCGUUAUUGCUACUGGUUUGGUGUUGUUGGGCACAUGGAUAUUGAAGCCUAAUUGCUGAAAUUUUCAUGGUGGUNNNNNNNNNNNNNNNNNNNNNNNNNNNNNNNNNNNNNNNNNNNNNNNNNNNNNNNNNNNNNNNNNNNNNNNNNNNNNNNNNNNNNNNNNNNNNNNNNNNNNNNNNNNNNNNNNNNNNNNNNNNNNNNNNNNNNNNNNNNNNNNNNNNNNNNAGAUUGACAAUCUAAUCUAUUGCAUUAUAAAAAACUCAACUUUCAUCAGAAAAAAAUUAUUGCCACUACAUGUACAUGUAAUAAAGUGAAGGGUGACUUAAAAUAAAAAAUUUCUAUUUCACAGGCUCUUCUAUAUACACAGUCUUCAAGCGUCCAGUUAGUACCCCAUAAGCCCAGACCUCUUGUAGGUUUGCCACGGCGUUGUCGGACAAAAAAGUCAUUGGCUUGGCCAUUUCUGUGCCAGUCAGCAAACAUUCGACGUAUCCAAGAGCGUGCGAGCCGCUCACAUUAGCGACAUCAUCUUUUGGAAGGAUCAUUCCCCUGUUUCGACCUUCAAAAUCCCAUGAUUUCUUUAUCAACACUUCCUUUGGCAAAUGAUUCAUCAGUUUACUCUCCCUCAACAAGAUGGGCAACAGCACCAGCAGUGGCUCCACGAGAAGAAAAAAAAUUGAAAUCAUCGAUGAGAGGUACGUUGGAGUCAUAAACAUUGAUCUUUCCCUCCUCGAGUAGUAUCUCAACAGCCCGAUAAUGCAUGUCGUUCAAGCUAAUGACUGUAAGAAUCCUUUUUACCUCUGUCCAGCUCUUGCCAUGUGGAUUUGGCCUGUCCCCUCUAACAUAUCUUAACAUUUCUUCUUCAUCCAAGACCAACGUAGAAACUAGGAAAUCAAGUCCCACGCCAAGGGAUGACGCCUCUCCAUUGAUUUGAUCGUACUUAUCCUUGAGCUUCUUGCAGUAAUCGAGUUCCAUUAUCCUAUCGGCAGUGUCAUAAGCUUUUCUGUACGUUAAUUGACUUUUCCUCAUAAGGUAGAGAAUUAUGUCAACAUGCCGUGAGAUAUGAAGUCAAUUUUUAAAUAGGUUAGUAAUUCUAAAGAUGCACGGAUGGUCCAUCUAUUGCAUAGGGUUCUCUGAAUCAAUAAUCCAGCGCAAAUUAUGCAACGGAUGGAUAAUAAGUUGCAACAGAACCACAACCAAUUGCACCAGUAUACCCAGUUGUUGUAACAGAUGUGAAAUCUGUUGCGUAGCUUCUUGAUGGGGUAGAUUAGAAGGGUUAGGUUAGGAAAAGUAAAUUUGCCUUGUCCUCGUAUUGCAUACGCAUAUCAGUCAUAGUCUGGAAGUCUUGGGGGGGAAAGAGAGGUUUGGGGUAAUCUGGUGCGCCUGGCUUAGCAUUCUUGGCCUAUCGUAGAUCCCUCUUCUCUUCGGGGCCAAGUUCCGCGUAUAUGUCCACCUUCUUGACUGGCCCCUAAACUUUAACAUCUUUUGGAGAGGGAGGAAUUGCAAUUUUAUUUGGUUUCCGAGCGGAGAGUACGUCUCUAAUUGCUUUUUUCUUUCUCCUAACAAACGUUGUAGGAGUGUAUGGCUCCCUCACCUUCUUGGAUGGUAUGACACACCUCUUGGAUUUGAAUUCCUCGAUAGCUUUAGAGAUAGACUCUACUUUUUUAAAGAGUUUAUCCUGUCUAUCCUUGCACUCAUCACAUUCGCAACGAGAAUACGAGGGUAAAGAGGGGUGAGAGGGACCUGUGUAAGGGUGAAAAGGGGUGUUCUCAAACAUAUUUAUUCUUUGAUAGCAGCAUUAGAAUGCCUUCCUCCAACACCAACAACUCCACCAGAAGAAGCACCUGGAUCUGCCUUGGUAAAAGGUUGGUCAUGAAGAGCCUCAACAUUAGACUAACCUUGCCUAACUGCUCUUCUUAUGGCUGUUGCUAGCCAAUUCCUUCUUUGUUAACUCCACCGUUGGGUUUGCAAUAGUAUCAACAUGACCAAGAGUAAUAUAAGAAGUCAUCACCGACUCCUCCUCAGUAGGCACGAUCUAUGGAUGCACAAUCUAUAAAAAAGAAAAAAAGACAGAUGCAUUUAAAUCAUAUAAUAUAAUCAUUUUCACAGUUGGGCUACAUUUAAAAAAAAAGACCCAUCUGUUGCAUAGUUUGCAGUAUAUGGUUAAAAUCCGUAUGAGUUUGGUUCAGAGAAAUAAAGCAACAUAUGGAUAAUCUGAUACAAAAUAUCAAUCAUCUGGUGCAACAGCUACACAAGACGGGUAAUCUGUUAUGCAAUAGAUGAUCUGUACAUCGCAACAGAUGAAUGAUAUGUUACAGAUUAAACAUCUGUUACAUAAUUUGUAGUAGAUGGUUAAUCUUGUAGAAGUCGGGUUCAGAGAACUAAAGCCACAUAUAGGUAAUCUAAUGCAAGAUAUACACCAUCACAACAGAUGUCCCAUGUGGUACAUCAAAUAUAACAUCUCAUGCACCAGAUAUACCAUUUGUUCAAUAUCUUUCUUAUCUUUGAGUAGAAUUAUUUUACUUGAAGAAGAUGUACUACAUCAUUCGGAGGGUUAAAGAGAUCAGCCUUCUUAAUAUUGGUGUUUCUCUUUGCAGCCAACCACCUAAACAUCCUUGGAUGAGAAACCUCAUUCGGGUAAUCCAUUUAUUGCUUUCGGAGGGGAGGAAUUGCUUCAAAUGCCCAAGCCUAAAAAGUGUAAAUAGGAAGCAAGAAAAAAAAUCAUAAUAACUAUAUUCAAUAUAAAUUAAUGGAUGAGUAAAAUUAGUGAUUAAUUUUACCAUGAAAUCCCAAGGAAAGCCGUAUAAUGUGGUCCUCUUUCUCUUUCUGACUCUCCAAUUCCUCCUCUUUUUCACUUUUAUUUUCUUCAUCAUCAUCUACGAACCCUUGUACACCUCCCUCAACAUUGUUUUCACAUCUCUCCUCAGCUUCACUUUUUCCUGACUGAGAUUGUUUAGAAAGCUCCUCUGAAUCCCUCUGUACUGUAGCCUUUUUUUUUAAUGGUCAGACGUUGAUCCACUUUCACUUUCUUUUCUUUUGGGAGACAUGUUUUACCUACAGACAAAGAAAAAUAAAAAUUACAUUACAGUUGAUGUAUGCAUAGAUUUUAAAAAAUACAUUACAAACACCACAAAUAACGACACACCAACAGCCACCACCACAAACACCACCAACCAAUUCCAACAAACAAACAAACACCACGAAUACUGAUACCACCACAAAAACCACCAACCAAUGCACCACUGGUGCCACCACAACGACCACAAACACCACCAUCACCACCAAUACCAUCCAAUUAUACCACGACAGUUAAUGGAACACUACGAUGGAAACUAGGGAUUUCUUGAGUUCUUCCUACAAUUUUACCAUCAAAACUCAAAAUUGUAAACCCAUUAUCGAAGAUAAUACUAUUAUUGAGUGAGAAUGAGAGAGAAAGAGCCAAACCUCAAGAUUUGAAAUGAUGAAACAUUUUGUAUGAGUUGAUUUGUAUUUUGGAAAAGAAUGACAAGUAGUUUUGAAAAUGUUAAUUUGGUCCGAAAUGAUCUUAAUUAUUUUUAAAAUCAUAAAAUAUAUGCGUAAUUUUUAAAAUCAUAUAAAAACAAUUGAAGUUGUAGUUGGCCGAGUACUCUAGGAGGUGACCUUGUGAAAACUCACCCCUGGUCCUAGAUUAAUCAAUUUAGGAGUCUAACAUAUGAACUCAAUUGAAAUUGUAAAAAACAAAUGUUUAAUAUGUUGCGCCAGAUUUCUCAUCUGUUGUAAAUUAUCAAUCAGAUUAGGUAACAACAUAUUAUGAAUCUGAUGUAAAUUAUCAAACAGAUUAAGUUAUUUGUUGCGACAGAUUACCCAUCUGUUGUAAAUUAUCAAAUGGAUUGUCAUAUGUCGCAACAGAUUACCCAUAUGUUGUAAAUUAUCAAAUAGGCGCUGCCAUCUGUUGAGGCUGACCCUAUGAGAACUCACCCGUAGUCCUAGAUUAAUCAAUAGUUUACCCUGUGAGAAAUCACCCCUAGUCCCAGAUUAUUCAAUCAAGGUAUUAGUACCCUAGUCCUAGAUUAAUCAAUUAAGGUAUUAGACUAACAUAUAAGGUAGUAAGAAUCGGUUCAGCUCAGAGUGAUUGAUUACCAACUUUGGUCGGGAGGAACGCAGUACCGUUUCAUAAUGCAAUUGACAAAAGACUCAAUUGAAGUUGUAGUUGAACCUAUGAGAACUCAUAUUCAAUUAAGGUAUUAGUCUAACAUAUGAACUCAAUUGAGUUAUAUAUAAAUAAAUGCUCAACCUGUUGCAACAGAUGUCUUUUCUGUUAGAUCAAAUCAAACAAAUUAUGUAUUCUGUUGCAACAUAUUACACAUCUAUUGUAAGAUAUCAAACAGAUUAAGUCAUCAGUUGCAACAAUUAUCCAUCUGUUGUAAAUUAUCAAAUGGAUUGAGUCAUAUGUUGCAAUAGAUUACCCAUCUGUUGUAAAUUAUCAAAUAGGCAUUGUCAUCUAUUGUAGUUGACAUUAUGAGAACUCUCCCCUAGUCCUAGAUUAAUCAAUUGAGGUAUUGGUCUAACAUAUGAGGUAGUAAGAAUCAGUUCAGCUCAGAGUGAUUGAUCGACGACUCUUUUUGGGAAGAACACAGUCCCGUCUCAUUGUGCAUUUACUAAAAGACUUAAUUGAAGUUGUAGUUUACCCUAUGAGAACUCACCCCUAGUCCUAGAUUAUUCAAUUAAGGUAUUAGUUGAACAUACGAGGUAGUAAGAAUCGGUUCGUCUCAGAGUGAUCCAUCGAUGACUCUUGUCGGGAGGAAUGCAGUACCGUCUCAUCAUGCAAUUGCCAAAAAACUCAAUUGAAGUUGUAGUUGACCCUUUGUUCUCAUUCAUCCAUACCUAAUUCCACCUAGAUCAAUGUAGGUACUAUUAUUAAUCUUAACAUUAAGUUAAUGAGAACACAUUUCAACUCAGAGUGAUCGAUCGACGACUCGGGUCGGGAUGAAUACAAUACUAACACCAUGCAUAUGCAAUGACUCAAUUAGAUUUGUAAUUGACCCUAUGAGCUCAUUCAUUCAUUCAUCCCUAGUUCCACCUAGAUCGAUGUAGGUACUAUUAUUAAUCUUAACAUUAAGUUAAUAAGGAGCUCAUUCUUUCAUCCUUAGUUCAUUCUAAAUCAAUUACAAUAAAAUUUGUUGCAACAAAUAACUGAGUUGUUGGAGAAUUUCAAACAGAUAACAAUAUUUGUUGCAACAGAUGACAUUUCUUAUUUAAUUAUCAAAUAGACGUUUGCAUUUGUUAUGACGGAUGACUGAGGUGUUGGAAAUUUUCAAACAGAUAUUGAUAUCUGUUGUGACAGAUAACGUUUCUAAUUUAGUUAUCAAAUGACAUUUCCAUCUAUUGUCACAGAUGACUGAGCUAUUGGAAUAUCUCAAAUAGAUAUCUAAAUCUGUUGCAACAAACGACAUGUCUGUUUGAAAAUCUUUUUAUUUUCUUUUAAUUUUAAAGCAAGCUACUGUCCGAGUAGAUAAAGUAGUAGUACUACUNNNNNNNNNNNNNNNNNNNNNNNNNNNNNNNNNNNNNNNNNNNNNNNNNNNNNNNNNNNNNNNNNNNNNNNNNNNNNNNNNNNNNNNNNNNNNNNNNNNNNNNNNNNNNNNNNNNNNNNNNNNNNNNNNNNNNNNNNNNUUUGUAAAUAUAAAUUUGAAUAAAUACACUUUGUUUAGUCAUUUAAUAUUAAGGGUAGUACAUCUAGAAAUUAGAAUUAUCUCAUCUCGUCCCUCCUCUCCUUCAGCCCUAAAUCUCUCAUCUUUUUUCUUUCUAUUCUCUUUAGGGUUAUCACAACCUUUUUUUCUCUCCUCUUUCUCAAAAAUUUUUGUUCAGAUCUAAACUGAUAGAUAUCCAUAUCUUAUAUUCCUCAACUAAUAUUGUUGUUUUGACCCCCUUUUGACAUUGUAUGAUAGAUUCAUUAUUGCUCUUUCAUUCUUGUCUUCUUUUUGCAACUUUAUUUACAUCUUUUUGUUUAUUUAAUUACCAUUUUCCCAUAUCAUAUUUAUUUAAAAAAUUUGAAGGAACUUUUAAUCGUUGAAUAAACAUAUCGAGAAUUUUUAUUAUAAGAUGCGAAAAAAAGUCAUCUGUUAGGAGAAUUUUAAAAGCCUUGUUGGAAGUAUCAUUUUUAUGUAUUUUGUUUGUUUCUUUGUUGUUGAUGCUGUUAUUGAUGUUGUUGGUGGGGCUGGCAUUGUUGAAACUUGUAGUGUGGUGUUGUUGGUGGGUUUGGCAUUAUUGGAACUUGCGAUGUGGUGUGGUUUAGAUGGUGGGUGCUUCUUAGCUUAAAAAUAGUGGAGUCCGAACAAUCAACACAAAGAGUAAGGGAGAAAAACAUAAAAAGUUUAAAGUGAAUAAGAAGAGAAGAGUUGGUUACCAAAAUUUAAAAAAUAUGUGCUGAGUGGGAAUUGAACUCAAGACCAAAAGAAAUAAAUAGCCUUAAGCACCCAUAAACAACAACUAGGCUAACCAAACAACUCUUACUAUAGGUGCUCACUGCUUAGAUUAUAUACGUUAGUUUCUUUAUUUCCACAUACGUAUAUAAAGUUUGAUACGAGUUCAGUCUGUGCUCGCAUACCCGGAGGACUCCAUGUGAGUUCGUCCCUUAUUGUUGAUAGUGUUGGAACAUAGGAUGUAUGCUUCUUUGUAGUUGAUGAUGUUGUUGGAACAAAUGUUGGUGUUUUCUUUAUUAUUGAUGCUUUUUAUUUGUUGUUUGUAGUUUAUGUUGUUGUUGAUGUUUCAACAGAUGGAGAAACUAAUGGAACAAAUCAAACAACCAGCAAGGCUGCUAUGUAUUCCAACAGACUCCAUAUCUGUUGCAUCAGACUCCAUAUCUGACGCAACAGACUCCACAUCUGACGUAAACUAUCCGGGAUCUAUGUGUUAUGUGUGGUGUUACUUAAAUAAAACUAGUGACUGUAUUAAUAUGUAAAUUAAAAAAGUGGAUCUAAAUACAACAUUUUAUCUUUUUGUUGUAUUUCUGAAAGAAACAUAUUGGUAAUCUGUUGAAAAAUAUAUUCCAUCUGUUAGAUAACUUACAACAUAUGGAUAAUCUGUUGCAACAGAUGUAUAUGUCAGUUUUCUUUUCCAUCAGCUGUGGUGUCUGUUGCAACUUGCUAAUCAUCUAUUCAUUCAAUUUCAUCGAGAGCAAUAGAUUUUUCUAAACACUUCUUGGCCAAACUCAAUUUUUUGCUCUUGGACUGCUUCUUUUUUUUUCUUUGCAUCCUUCAAGCUGGCCUCCAAAUUCAAAUUUUUCCCUCAAUCCAAUAGCAAAAAUUAAGUUUGGUUGAAGGAUGCAAAGAAAAAAAAAAGAAGCAAUCCAAGAGCAAAAAUUGAAUUUGGCCAAGAAGUGUUUAGAAAAAUCUAUUGCUCUCGAUGAAAUUGAAUGAAUAGAUGAUUAGCAAGUUGCAACAGACGCCACAGCUAAAGGAAAAGUAAACUGAUAUAUCCAUCUGUUGCAACAGAUUGUCUAAAUGUUGUAAGUUAUCUGACAAGUGAAAUAUAUUUUGCAACAGAUUACCAAUCUUUAUCUUUUGAAAAUACAACAAAAAGAUAAAAUAUUGUAUUUAGAUCUUUUUUUUUUCUAAUUUACUUAUUAAUAAAGUCACCAGUAUUAUUUAAGUAACACACAUAAUACAUAAAUUUCGGAUAGUUUCAGCAAAAUUGCAUUAAAUCCCGGAUAGUUUGCUAAUUAUAUUUUAUCCCGAAUUUUGAAUUGUGAUACAUAUGUUAAGCAGUGAUACAUAUAGCAUAUGUAUCACUAGUAAAUAUGAAUCCGGGAUUUUAUGUAAUUUUUUAUAACAUUAAGGGAUAUUGUGUAAUAUGGUGUCUUAAAUAUGAGAUUUAUGUAAUUUUUCCUUUUAAGGGAUAUGAACAGUUGUGGCUUUUUAUUUGACUAAGUCUAGCCCUUCCAAUUCUCAAUCAUUUUAUAAAUAGGUCCCUCCGACCUCCUCACUCACUCUCACUCACUCUCAUUCAUUCUACUAUACUUAAUAUACUAAUAUGUCAGAUCCAGAUUCGUACAAGAAGGUUCAUAUCGAGUCCUUACAGCAAUUUCAACGGCAGUUUGAUCAACUCCAGAGGGAUUUGGCCGACUUCCGAGCAAGGCUGAGGAGGGCCCUGCUGCUGCCGGAUGAAAAUUGUCAGGUUGACAAUAAUAAUAGUAAUAAUAAUAAUAAUAAUUAGGUUAUAUUUUUUCUUUCUUUUAGCAUAUGUAUUUCCCUUUUUNNNNNNNNNNNNNNNNNNNNNNNNNNNNNNNUUAGGGAUGCGGUCAUGAUGAGAAAUUCUCCUAAAAAUGGUUUGUUAAUAAAUAAUAAGAAACUAAAUGAUAUUAAAAUCGUAAAAGAAAGAUUAUUUAAUUUUAAAAAAGUCACAACAUUGGAUUAAUUUAAUUAAGAUAUAUAUAUGAUGAUAUGAUUUUUAAGAAAAAAAAUUAAUGAAUAGUCGUGACUGUGACUUUUGUCUAAACACAUCCAACAAACAAACAAAAAUAAAAAAACGCUUCUGAUGCAUCAAAUUCUUCAUUUGUUGCGACUUAUGAAUCAGUUAGAAGAAAUCAAAAAAGCUCCUUAAACAGAUGGUCGAUUUAUAGCAACAGAUGGUAUAUCUGUUGAAACAGAUGGGUUUCUAAUGCAACAGAUAUGCAAUCUGUUGCCAUAACUCAAUUAAUCAAAAUGGUUAUUAAAGAAACGAAAAGAUUAAGUCACCAUCAGCUUGAUUUAAUUAAGUUAUUUCUUUUCACAGAAAAGAAUAAGGAAAUAAAUGAUAAACACAAUUUAAAACUGUAAAAAAAUCACCAGAAAUAUUCUUGUUUUUAAAUCUUCUUUAUUAAUUUAUAUAAUUAAAAAGUCAAAAAAUUUGGAUGUCAUGAAGAUAAUUAUUUUUAAAAAAAAGAUAUAUAUAUAUUAUAUGUUGCAACAGAUAUAUUAUCUGAUGCAACAAUUGAACUAUUUGUUGCAACGGAAGAUAAAUCUAUUGUAAUAGAUGAUUUAUCUGAUGCAAUAGAUAUAUAAUCUGGUGUGCAACUCUGUGUAAAAAAUAAAUGGUUGCUGGAAAGAACUAAUUAUUUUAAUAAUUAUAAAGGUAAACUUCAAGCUGAAAAGUCAUGACCUAUCAUAAUAUUGAUUAAUUUAAUUAAGUCGUAACUUUUUAUAGUAAUCAAGAAUGUCAUUAAUAAAUGGAGGUGCACAGUUGUGACUUUAAAAAUCUGCUUUAUUAAUUUAUAUAAUUAAAAAGUCAGAAAAUUUGGAUGUCGUGAAGAUAAUAUAUUUUAAAAAAAUAUGUGUAUAUUAUAUGUUGCAAUAGAUAUAUUAUCUGAUGCAACAGAUAUAUUAUCUGAUGCAACAGGUUAUCUAUUUGUUGUAAAUCAUGAUAUAUCUAUUGUAACAGAUGAUUUAUCUGAUGCAAUAGAUAUAUUAUCUGUUGUCUAAGUCGGUGUAAAAAAAACGGUUCCCGGAAAUAACUAAUUAUUAAUAAUAAUAAUAAAGCUGAAAAGUCAUGACCUAUUAUAAUAUUGAUUAAUUUAAUUAAGUCAUAACUUUUUACAGCAAUCAAGAAUAACAUUAAUAAAUGGAGGUGAACAGUUGUGCCUUUAAAUCUGCUUUAUUAAUUUAUAUAAUUAAAAAGUCUAAAAAUUUGGAUGUCAUGAAGAUAAUAUAUUUUUAAAAAUAUAUAUAUAUAUAUAUAUAUAUAUUAUAUGUUGCAACAGAUAUAUUAUCUGAUGCAACAGGUUAUCUAUUUGUUGCAAAUCAUGAUAUAUCUAUUGUAACAGAUGAUUUAUCUGAUACAACAGAUAUAUUAUCUGUUGUCCAAAACAGUGUAAAAAAAUGAUUCCUGGAAAGAACUAAUUAUUCAUAAUAAUAAAGCUGAAAAGUCAUGACUAAUCAUAAUAUUGAUUAAUUUAAUUAAGUCAUAACUUUUUAUAGUAAUCAAGAAUGUCAUUAAUAAAUGGAGGUGAACAGUUGCAAUUUUUUGUCUAACUCAUUCAAGUCCAAUCCUCUAUAAAUAGGUAUCUCCUUACUCAAUCGUUCGUUCUACUACACAUUAUUUAUUCCUCGCUCUUGUUACACCUUCAACUACUUUCUCUUCAAGGACUUGAUAGCCUUUUCCUGUCUCUAGUAACUUUUUUUCUUGAUUUUUGUGUAAAUAUACGUUGUAUUACAUUACACUACAUUUGAAUUCUUUCUUUUCUUUACUUUUGUGUUUACAUGUGUGUUUUGUCAACUUAUGCAUUUUUUAGAUAUGGCUNNNNNNNNNNNNNNNNNNNNNNNNNNNNNNNNNNNNNNNNNNNNNNNNNNNNNNNNNNNNNNNNNNNNNNNNNNNNNNNNNNNNNNNNNNNNNNNNNNNNNNNNNNNNNNNNNNNNNNNNNNNNNNNNNNNNNNNNNNNNNNNNNNNNNNNNNNNNNNNNNNNNNNNNNNNNNNNNNNNNNNNNNNNNNNNNNNNNNNNNNNNNNNNNNNNNNNNNNNNNNNNNNNNNNNNNNNNNNNNNNNNNNNNNNNNNNNNNNNNNNNNNNNNNNNNNNNNNNNNNNNNNNNNNNNNNNNNNNNNNNNNNNNNNNNNNNNNNNNNNNNNNNNNNNNNNNNNNNNNNNNNNNNNNNNNNNNNNNNNNNNNNNNNNNNNNNNNNNNNNNNNNNNNNNNNNNNNNNNNNNNNNNNNNNNNNNNNNNNNNNNNNNNNNNNNNNNNNNNNNNNNNNNNNNNNNNNNNNNNNNNNNNNNNNNNNNNNNNNNNNNNNNNNNNNNNNNNNNNNNNNNNNNNNNNNNNNNNNNNNNNNNNNNNNNNNNNNNNNNNNNNNNNNNNNNNNNNNNNNNNNNNNNNNNNNNNNNNNNNNNNNNNNNNNNNNNNNNNNNNNNNNNNNNNNNNNNNNNNNNNNNNNNNNNNNNNNNNNNNNNNNNNNNNNNNNNNNNNNNNNNNNNNNNNNNNNNNNNNNNNNNNNNNNNNNNNNNNNNNNNNNNNNNNNNNNNNNNNNNNNNNNNNNNNNNNNNNNNNNNNNNNNNNNNNNNNNNNNNNNNNNNNNNNNNNNNNNNNNNNNNNNNNNNNNNNNNNNNNNNNNNNNNNNNNNNNNNNNNNNNNNNNNNNNNNNNNNNNNNNNNNNNNNNNNNNNNNNNNNNNNNNNNNNNNNNNNNNNNNNNNNNNNNNNNNNNNNNNNNNNNNNNNNNNNNNNNNNNNNNNNNNNNNNNNNNNNNNNNNNNNNNNNNNNNNNNNNNNNNNNNNNNNNNNNNNNNNNNNNNNNNNNNNNNNNNNNNNNNNNNNNNNNNNNNNNNNNNNNNNNNNNNNNNNNNNNNNNNNNNNNNNNNNNNNNNNNNNNNNNNNNNNNNNNNNNNNNNNNNNNNNNNNNNNNNNNNNNNNNNNNNNNNNNNNNNNNNNNNNNNNNNNNNNNNNNNNNNNNNNNNNNNNNNNNNNNNNNNNNNNNNNNNNNNNNNNNNNNNNNNNNNNNNNNNNNNNNNNNNNNNNNNNNNNNNNNNNNNNNNNNNNNNNNNNNNNNNNNNNNNNNNNNNNNNNNNNNNNNNNNNNNNNNNNNNNNNNNNNNNNNNNNNNNNNNNNNNNNNNNNNNNNNNNNNNNNNNNNNNNNNNNNNNNNNNNNNNNNNNNNNNNNNNNNNNNNNNNNNNNNNNNNNNNNNNNNNNNNNNNNNNNNNNNNNNNNNNNNNNNNNNNNNNNNNNNNNNNNNNNNNNNNNNNNNNNNNNNNNNNNNNNNNNNNNNNNNNNNNNNNNNNNNNNNNNNNNNNNNNNNNNNNNNNNNNNNNNNNNNNNNNNNNNNNNNNNNNNNNNNNNNNNNNNNNNNNNNNNNNNNNNNNNNNNNNNNNNNNNNNNNNNNNNNNNNNNNNNNNNNNNNNNNNNNNNNNNNNNNNNNNNNNNNNNNNNNNNNNNNNNNNNNNNNNNNNNNNNNNNNNNNNNNNNNNNNNNNNNNNNNNNNNNNNNNNNNNNNNNNNNNNNNNNNNNNNNNNNNNNNNNNNNNNNNNNNNNNNNNNNNNNNNNNNNNNNNNNNNNNNNNNNNNNNNNNNNNNNNNNNNNNNNNNNNNNNNNNNNNNNNNNNNNNNNNNNNNNNNNNNNNNNNNNNNNNNNNNNNNNNNNNNNNNNNNNNNNNNNNNNNNNNNNNNNNNNNNNNNNNNNNNNNNNNNNNNNNNNNNNNNNNNNNNNNNNNNNNNNNNNNNNNNNNNNNNNNNNNNNNNNNNNNNNNNNNNNNNNNNNNNNNNNNNNNNNNNNNNNNNNNNNNNNNNNNNNNNNNNNNNNNNNNNNNNNNNNNNNNNNNNNNNNNNNNNNNNNNNNNNNNNNNNNNNNNNNNNNNNNNNNNNNNNNNNNNNNNNNNNNNNNNNNNNNNNNNNNNNNNNNNNNNNNNNNNNNNNNNNNNNNNNNNNNNNNNNNNNNNNNNNNNNNNNNNNNNNNNNNNNNNNNNNNNNNAAUAUUUUUGAAAAAAAUUUAAAUGAGUCUCCUAUAAGAUGACAUGUUAAUUUAAAACAUCAAGAAUUAAUUUAUCAUUUUAUGUUAAUUUUAUUUCUAUUAAAUAUUAUUAAAAUUUUAAUAUCUAAAUGUCUUAUAAUAAUUAAUUAGGGAUGACAUAGUAAAAUUACGGUUGAAGUAGCUGAAGUAGACAUGUCAUAAAUGUCUAUUUUACCUUUUUUUUUAAAUAUUAUUAAUUUUCUUAUAUGUAAAUGUUUUACAAUAAUUAAUUAGGAGUAAUAUAGUAAAACCAUUGAGCAAAUAUACUUGUGAAUUUUUUUAAAUAAGUCUCAGAUAAGAUGUCUUAUUAAUUUAAAACAUCAAGAAUUGAUUUAUCAUUUAUAUCUAUCUUAUUAUUUAUUAAAUAUUAUUAAUUUUUUAAUACCUAGAUGACUUAUAAUAAUUAAUUUGAGGUGAUAUAAUAAAACUAUGAUUGAAGCAGCUGAAAUAGAUAUUUCAUAAAUGUCUAUUUUAUAUUUUUUUAAUUAAGUAUUAUUAAUUUUCUUAUAUAUAAAUGACUUAAAAUAAUUAAUUAGGAAUAAUAUAGUAAAAUUACGGAGCAGCUGAAACAGGUGAAGAAGCUCGCAUGUUGACGAAGACUCUUAUUAAUAGUAGUAAUAUGUAUGCUUAUUACAAAAUCUAUUUGUCAAUACUUUUUAUAAUAUCUAAUUACCAAUUCACUUAUUAUUUGAGUUUAUUAUACUUGUCAUAUUUUAUAUUUGAUAUAUUUAUAAAUAAAAUAAUAAUUGAUUCAUUGAUUUUAUCAUAUUAUUCAUAUUAAUUGAUGUUUAGUACUUUCUCCAUCCAUCAAUAGUUGUCCGCUACUAACACACAAAUUAACAAAUAGUAAAUGACAUUAUAAUUUUAUCAUAUUAUUCUUUGAAUAUAAUAUAUUUAAUACAUUAGGAAAUGCAAUGAAUAAUGAAUCGCAUAUAAUGUUAAGGAUAUAAUGGAUAGAAAUGAGUAAAUUAUCUAUUAAUUUUUUUAAACUAGACAAGUAUUGUUGUAUAUUUAUUUUUAAUAUAGUGGACAAACAAAGAUGCACGGAGAUAGUAAUUAAUAGGGUUUGAAAAAUAAUUUAGAGAAUAAUUAAUUAAGUUAACGGUAAAAUAUGAAAUUUUUUUUUUUUAUCUUUUCUUGAUUUGUUUAAAAUAACAAGUAAAUGUAAAAAUCAAAUUAAAAGAAAAUAAUGACAAGUAUGUCCGAAUAAAGAAACUAGUAUUAACUUAAAGUUGGUAUAAAAAUUCAUAAACUUAAAAUCAUAAAUCUGUCUCCAAAAUUUAAGACUCAGAGAAAAGGACCAAUCACGUUAGGUAUGAAGUUGCUCUUUUGAGUCAUCAGAACCGACCACCAUUUCAUGGCUCCGAAUAUUUUGAUAAGCCAAUCCAAUUCUAUACAUGUGUAUUUCUUAGCCAAACGUUAUAAUUAACAUGGCAUGGAUCCGUGAUUGAGCAAUGUCAAGUUGCGCCACCUCCUGGUGGUGUUGCUGAGCUGACACUCCCUCUUACCUAUUUUGAUCAUAUAUGGUUAGACUUCCACCGUAUACGGCGGGUAUUACCAAACUCGAUUUCAUCCAAAACAUUAUUCCUUCUCUUGAAGAUUCCCUCGCUCUCAAAAACUAUACACCCUUUGCUGGCAACAUUGCUUGUCCAAUAAAUUCGAGCGGAUAUCCUGAGUUACGUCAUGUGAUGGGAGAUUUCGUGUCUGUUACUUUUUCUGAGAUUGAUAUGGAUUUCAAUUAUCUCAUUGGUGCCCAUCCCCAUGAUGCUAAGGAUUUUUAUCACUUUGUUCCUAGGCUGGCGGAACCUAAGGAUGCAUCGGGGGUCCAAUUAGCCCCGGUCUUAGCCAUUCAAGUGACACUUUUUCCGAAUCUAGGUGUAUCCAUUGGUUUCACUAACCAUCAUGUUGCUGGUGAUGGAGCUACUAUAGUAAGGUUCAUUAGGGCUUGGGCUCUACUCCACAAAUUCGGUGGCCAUGAACAAUUCUUAUCGAAAGCGUUGAUUCCAUUUUAUGGUAGGUCCAUAAUCAAAAACCCAUAUGGACAGGCGAUGUCCAUAUGGGAAGAAAAGAAGAAAAAUAAUCUAGAGAUGCGUGACAUUGUGACUCCUCAACGUAAGGUUCGAGGUAAAUUUACUAUAAGACGAGAAGAUAUUGAGAAACUCAAGAUUUUAACGUUAUCAAGACGACGGAGUACUCUAACUCAUGUAACAUCUUUCACUGUAACGUGUGCUUAUGUAUGGACUUACUUGAUAAAAUCAGAGUACGUAAUCAGAGAAGAGAUCAUUGACGACAAUGGAAUGGAAUUCUUCUUAUGUGCAGCAGAUUGCAGAACGCGACUCAAUCCACCACUUUCUCAAUCUUAUUUCGGUAAUUGAGUAGUGAGCUACAUUGCAAGAACAAGACAUGCCGACUUAGCUGGAAAGGAAGGCUUUACAAUUGCCGUGUUAUUAAUUGGAGAAGUCAUUCAGAAAAGGAUGAAGGAUGAGGAAUGGAUUCUGAGUAGUAGUUGGUUUAAAGAAUUGGACACCAUACAUUGGAAUCGAAAGCUUACAGUUGCUGGAUCCCCAAAGCAUAACUUAUAUGCUACUGAUUUUGGAUGGGGAAGCCCCGCAAAGUACGAGAUCGUUUCUAUUCACGACGAUGAUGGAAUAUCAAUGUCUCUUAGUAAAUCUAAGGACUGUGAUGGAGAUUUAGAGAUUGGUUUGUCUUUGUCUAAAACUCGAAUGAAUGCUUUUGCUGCUAUAUUCACUCACGGUCUCAGUUUUCUAUAGCAAGCUUGAGUCGAGGGGUGGGAAUUUGGCAAGGACCCCUAUGUAUUUAUUAAGUACUAGCAAUUAGCAACAAAAUAGACAUAAAUUCUUACCUCUUGUGUCCCAGAUGAUAUACAGCAAAUUUUAGCUGUAAUUAGUCCAAAUAAGAAUGGUGUAUAUCUUGAUAUCAAAUAAGGCUUUACAUAUCUAUAAUCUAUAAUUUAUAUCUAUAUCUAUAAUCUAUAUUGUGAAGGCCUUAAAAAAGUGAAUUGAACUUUUUGUCCUUCGUUAAAAGUCUUUUCUUUAAAUAAAAUCAUCUUUUACUAAUUUUUUAAUAUUUAAAAAUAACUAUUUAAUUAUAUUUUAAAACAUAGAGCUUCUUUCCCUGCCUUUCAGAUAUAGGAGUCGCUACCAAAAGCUUACGUGAAGUAGAAUUGAACGUAGGGUUCAAACCUUUAAAUUAGGACAAGAAAAAACAUAGCCCACUUUUUAGGUUUAUUUUUAUCUGGCGAGUUGUGUCACCAAAAAUCUAUUUUUCCCUUUGUUAUUAAAAGUGGUGCAAAUUUACAUUCCACAAUAUUUUACUGCACAUUAAACUUAGAUACAGUGUGUGAUUUUUUGUCAUUUUAUUGUAGGCUUUAUUGGGAGGAAUUGAAGUAAAGUAUCUGCGGUGAAUUGUGAUUCGAGGUAUGUGUUUUAAAUCUUUAGCAUGUUUUUGAAAUUUAGAACAAAUAAAUGUCACGUAUUUUUAUAGGUAAUUUGAAGAGAUAAAUUUGCUUGUGAUUUGAGUUGAGUUAAGUCGUUGAAAAUUUUAGUAUGUUCUUCAUUUUUACACUUGAUAGUAUCUAUGAUUAAAGAGAUAAAUUUGUUCGUAAUUUUGGGUAGGUUUUCUAAAACUUUAGUAUGUUUUUGAGUUUUACAACAAAUAAAUUAUUAUGUAUUUUUGAUAGACAAUUACAAAUUAAGGUUUUUUGUGCAUGUGUGCAUGAAAUCUUGAAAUAUCUCAUGAUUAAAGAAAUAAAUUUGCUUGUGAUUUGAGGUAAGUUUUCUAAAAUUUUAGUAUAUUUUUGAAGUUUGCAAUAAUAAAUUAUCAUGUAUUCUUGAGACAAUUGCUAAUUAUUAUUUUUAAUUAUUUAUAAGAUCUAUAAUUAAAGAGAUAAAUUUACUUGCGAUUUGAGGUAAGUUUUCUAAAAUUUUAGUACAUCCUUUUAUGUUUAUAAAAAUAAAUUAUCAUAUAUAUUAUUAUUUUUUUAUAAUAUUUGUUUAUAAUAAUGACUCAUGCACAAUUGAGAUAGUACUCGUAGUCUGACAAUUGUUCAGCUUUGUGCUUGAUGAAUUUUGUUCCUUUUCUCCCAUUGUAUGCAUUUGUUUUGGUUUUUGUUACUAGCAAUAUAUAUAUAUAUGAAGACCCUUUAAAAAUAAUUUGAAUUUUUGGUCCUUCACUAAAAGACCCUCCUUUAGAUAAAACUAUCUUUUCACUAUUUUUUUUAAUUUAUUAUUUAAUUAUUUUUAUUAUAUUAACUAGAUUCCUAAAACAUAUGAGACUCGUAAAAUAUAUAAAAGGUGAAUCAAUUAAUAUUUUCCUUUGUACUGAUCAAUUAGAAAAAUAUUUCUAAAAUAGGACUAAUAUUUCUAUAAAUAUUAAAAUGCAUGUUAAACUAGAGAAGAAACCGGUUUACUUAUUGAAAAAAUAUGAUUAAUGUUUAUCUAACUUGAUUCGGUUGCAUGUCUAGAUUGGUGGAUGUUUAAUUUUCUAACCCUCAACUUCUUCACUAUUUUUGUCAACAUAAUAGAAUUCAACGUGUGUGUAUAUAUAUAUCUUCUUUAUUUUCAUUCAAGUCAUUCUUUAGUGUCAAAACUUUCGAUCAAACAAGAAUUAUUUUCAUAAAAACUGAAGCUUUGUGAUCACUAUUAUAUUAUUUUAUUUUAGUUUACAGGCCGUAGAUAAAUUUAUAGGUGGUAGAUGAAUGCUGAUCGACUUCGAAGAUUUUUGUAGGUAAAAGUUAGGUUUAAUUGUAUUAUUUUUAUAUCUCUAUUUUGAGAAUUUUUUUUUUUAUGUAAAAGUGAAGUUUAGUUGUAUUAUUUUGAUAUCUCUACUGUCGUAUAAUUUUGUACUCCCUUCGUUUAAAAAAGAAUGACCUACUUUGACUUGGCACAAAGUUUAAGAAAAUAAAGAAGACUUUUGAAUCCUGUGACCUUAAAUUAAACUUGUGUCAAAUAUACCAAAAUGUCCUUUAAUCUACAUGUCAUGUGGAAAGUUGAAAUUAAAGUAUUGCCAAAAAAGGAAAGAGGUCAUUCUUUUUUAAACGGACUAAAAAGAAAAAUAGGUCAUUCUUUUUUAAACGGAGGGAGUACUAGUUUACAGGUGGUAGAUGAGUGUCGGACGGCUUUAAGUAAAUUUUUGUGUAAAGUUUAGAUUAAUUAAAAUUGUUUGAUGUCUCUAUCAUCAUAUUAUUUUGUUGUAGUUUACAAGUGGUAGAUGAAUGCCGAUCGACUUUAAGAAUUAUUUUUGGUAAAGGUUAGGUUUAAUUAAAUAAAUUCUCCAAAAGAUAUUGAAUUUAAUUAUUGUAUUCAUCUUUAUUAUUUAAACAAAUAUUAUAUUUAGUGUAACGUUUGAACUCAAUAAAGUGAGGUACACGCACAAGACACAUACACCUAAACUAGUAUUAUUAAAAUGUCAAAAGCGGCCUUCAAUUAAUAUUAAUUAUAAUUUUACUCUUCUAAACAAUUAAAAAAUGCAAGCAAUAGCAUGGUAUAAAAAUUUAAGCAAUAGCAUUGCAUGUCACGAUAUCACUAGCUCAUAUAAACAUUGAUCCGUCAAUAGAGCACCAAAAAUACAUAAAGGCUCAUUUAUUACAUAAUAAAUAAAAUUGUGUCAUAUUCUUCAUAUCAAAUCACCAUAUGUGAUAUAAAUAGAAGUGAAAAUACAUUUUAAUAAGGGAAAAUAUGCACCUAAGCUUUGCGAAAAUAUUUAGAUAUACCCUUCGUUAAAAGUUUAGCUCAGCAAUGCCCUUGCCGUUCAAGUUUUGGUCCAUAUAUACCCCUGUUGUUAAGUUUUGGAUCAUAUAUGCCACUGUUGCCAAGUUUUGGGCCAUAUAUACCGUUGUCGCCGUUAAUUGCUUUGCUGAAAUUUUUCAACCCACUUUUUCUUCUUUUUUUCCCAUAAAAAUUUAUAUUUUCCACAUCAUUUUUUAUUGCAACAUCACAUAUAAUUAAAUCUACCCCUUCUCUACACAUUAAACACGUCUGUCAGAUGCUCUCAUAUACUUCACAAUCUCUUUGAAUUUUCUCUAAUUUGUCGAAACCUUUUGUUGUAUUUUCAGAUUCUUACGUAAUUGUUUCUCUCAUACAUGCAUACAUACAAAAGAUAUCCUCUUAAUUGACAACUUAUUUUUGUUGUCUCUAUAUGGGCUUCCUCUUUAACACUUCUACAUCUCAAUUUCUCACUUAGGUUUUUCUUGUUCUUCUUAUUCUUGAUGUUGGAAUUGACGGUGGUGUGAAAGAUGAAGUAGGUUGAUCUGAUACUAAAAUAAUUUGUAGUUGGUAAGUACUUUAAUUCUUGAUUUUUAUCGCAAUUAUGCAUUGAGUUUUUAUGGGGUGUUCUUGACUUUUUUCAUCUUUUACUUGAUUAUUCUUGGGGUUAUGCAAGCAUCAUAAAAAACAACAAAAAUAUUUCGACAAAUUAGAGAAAAUUCAAGGAAAUUGUGAGGUAGAUGAGAGCAUUUGACGGGUGGUUAAUGUGUAGAAGAAGGAGUGAAUUUAAUUAUAUGUAAUAUGACAAUUAAAAAGUGAUAUGGAAAUAUGAUUUCUUAAAAAAGGGGGGUGUGGAAAAUUUUAGCAAAGCAAUUAACGAUAACAGGGGUAUAUAUGAUCUAAAACUUGAUAACGGAGGUAUAUAUGAUCCAAAACAUGAUAACAGGGGUAUAUAUGACCCAAGUCUUGGACAACAAGGGCACUGGUGAGCUAAACUUUUAACGGAGGAUAUAUUUGAACAUUUUCACAAAGUUUAGGGGCAUAUUUGACCCUUUUCCAAAAAAUCAUAAUUAAGUAAAGAAGUGUAUUUCACAGUCAUAUGCAAUGAAUAACUUCUAUUUUUUCUGAGUUAAUAGUGUAAAUAGCUGGUCAACUUUAUACAUUCAUCUCAGAAAGCCACUUAACUUUGGACUUUACUCAAAAAGUCACUCAACUUUAAUCUCUUAGAAAGUCACUCGACCCAUUUAAUUACUUUUUACACUAAAUUAUUCUUAUGUAGAUUUUUUUUAAUAACAAAAUUUGAAAAAAUACAAAAUAUUCAUUUAAUGACACUUGUACCCUUUCCUUUAUGUUGGUGAAAUUACAAUAAUAUUACAACUGGAAAAAUUACAAGUGAAGAAAAAUCAAAAGUUAUCUUCUUCUUCUUUGGCUGAGGCGUGGAUAUCUCGCUCUCUUUAAGGAAAUUCAAGCUCAUUGCAGCAAAAUCAUUUCACCGGUCCAGUAAUCUUAUUGACUUGUCCCCUCCAGGAUACAACAACCUUCUCAAAUAACAAUUCAACAACUCUGGACAAGAGUUGAAUUCAAAGCUCUAUAAAAAGAACACCUCUCUUCAGCUAAUGAACUCUCUUUUUUACUAUCCUUUGUGAACUCCCUAUUAUCCUGUGUAUAUUCAAAAAUAUGCAAGACCAUCUCUAUUUAUAGGUAAUAAAUCUUUCAUACAAUGAAUAAGAAGAAUAAAUGGAUAGUAAAGAGGGAAGAUCAAAUGCCUAUAGGUUACAAGAGUUACAUGAGAUAUAAGAUAUAAUGAGUAGGAUAAUAGGGGAAUAAAGAUAUAAGUUACAAGAAACUUAUGUCUACAUUCUAACCACUAACUCACAAAACAUAAUGACCUAGGUGAAUGCUAACAUAAUGAGCAACUAAUGGCCAAAAUAGGUUACUAAAAAAUAAAGACAAGUAAUUCCCAAUAAGUUAAAAAAAUGCCAGCCAUUUACUGCUACUUGAUAAAAUGCUAGCACUGAUACGGUUAUCUUCAUAAUGAUACUCUCAAAAUGAGAGUUAAAGUGAAACUGUCGAAGAAUGAAAUUUGUUUAUGCAUUGCCAAUAAUGGACGUACCAUAUUACGCAUGCAAUGAUGCAUAUAAUUAAUAUAAAAAUGUCUAAACUUCAUCAAUCCCCCACUCAUUUUAAUAUUAACACAAGAGAGUCUACUAACUUAAAGAAGACUACCAUGCAUAAUGAAGGUGUGCUCUUCAUUGAACCUCCACUUAGUAAAAUAGUAUUUUUUACUCCAGAGUCGUAGUGGUCUCAAACUUGAACUAUGACUACUUAAGGAAAAUAAAAAGUUACAACUUACACAUAAUAGUCAAGGUAUUGACAUGAGGUCUAUAGCCAGUACAUUACGGGCUUGUGUUAUCCCGAUUUCAUGAGUGUCUUUAAGAAUGAGCCUAAUUCUCAUAGGAAGUAGCCUACCCCAACACUUACAUAGGUGAAAUAUGUUGAGAGUGCUCCUGUAAUUUUAGCACCCGACUUAUACGAGCUACAAAUUUUCAUUAAGAGUUUUUAAAACUCAACUUCACAAUCAUUAUAGGUAAAUGCACUCACAUCAUAGGGAGGGGUAAAAAAAUAGUGAAUCUUUCACAACAAGUCAUCAUGUAAUUCGUUUUUUCCAUUGAACCUGGUUAUAGGAUCUCUAAUUCCCAGGUUAGGUUUCCUCACAUAUGACUCAAGAUUCAACAGGCUUCAAUACCAUCCCCCUCGAUGUGCUCCAAACAUUUUCUCUUGCUAAGGCCUUAGUUAAUGGAUCGGCAAGAUUUUUACAAGAUUUGACAUAAUCAACAUUAAUGGUACCAUUUGUCAAGUAUGAUCUCAUAUUACUGUGUUUUCUCCUUAUAGGUCUGGAUUUACUGUUGUAAUAAUGAUUUUGAACUCUACCAAUUGCAGCGGUGCUAUCACAAUGAAUUAAAAUAGGAGAAAUUGGUUUUUCAAAAUAAGGUAUUUGAAAUAACAAAUCUCUCAACCAAUUCGCUUCCUCACUAGAUGAAGCUAAAGCAAUUUGUUCGGCCUUCAUGGUAGAGUUAGCAAUAAUUAUUUGCUUUUUAGACUUCCAACAAAUAGCACCACCACCCAAAGUAAAAGCAUAACCAGUAGUGGAUAAGGAAUCACUGAUAAAGUGUUCCAAUCCACAUAUAUCAAAAAAGCUUUCAAGUAGAACAAGAUAUUUUUAUAGAACAAACCAUAAUUUUUUGUUUCAAUUAAAUAUCUCAUUACCCUCGUUACAACAUGCAAAUGUUCAUUACCUGACUUGCUAGUAAGCCUACUAAGUACUCCUACUAUAUAUGCAAUAUCAGGCCUAGUGCAAUCAGUCACAUAUCUCAAACUUCCAGUUAAGCUAGCAUAUUCCUUUUAAUUUAUUAAAUCAUUUUCAGUUUCAAUAGGAAACAAAUGAAUACAAGAAUUAAAUGGAGUUACAACAUACUUUCAAUCAAGGAAAUUAUAUUUUUUUCAAUAUUUUCUCAACACAAUGUAACUGCUUAAGGAAUAUUCCAUCACAUGUUCUAGUAAUUUUUAUUACUAGAAUAAAAUUUUCCUCACCAAGAUCUUUCAUAUCAAAAUGACUUCUAAGAAUAUUUUUAGUUUCACCAAUAACAUUCAUGUUAGAGCCAAAGAUCAAUAAAUCAUCAACAUAUAGGCAAAUAUUAACAUGCAAAUUAUUUUAAGACUUAUGAUAUAUGCACUUAUCGCACUCAUUAGUUUUAAACUCAUUAUCAAUCAUGCAGGAAUCAAACUCUUCAUAUCAUCGCUUUGGUGUCUGUUUUAAUCCAUAUAGAGAUUUAUUAAGCUUACACACUUUACUUUCUUGGCCAGCCUCAAUAAAACACUCGAGUUGUUUCAUGUAAAUCUCCUCAUUUAGGUCUCUAUUUUAAAAAAUAUUUUUUACAUCUAUUUGAUGAAUUUAUAAAUCAAAAAUUGCUUCGAUAGAAACUAAAAGUCUAAUGGAUGUAAUUCUAGUUAUCGGAGAAAACGUAUCAAAAAAUUCUAGGCCUUCAAGUUGUUUAAAAUCUUUAGCCACUAGCCUAGUUUUGUAUUUAUCAACAGAUCCAUCCGAUUUUAACUUUUUACGUAAGACCCAUUUACAUCCAAUUGUUUUACAACCCGGUGGUAAAUCUACUAGCUUCCAAGUCUUACUGAAAAUUAGUAUUCCAUUUCAUCAUUUACAAACUCUUCCCAAAAAAUAGCAUCAUGUAAAGACAAAGCUUCUUUUAAAGUGAUAGGGUCAUCUCCACUGUUAAGAACAUAAUAAUCAGGACUAAAGUCAUUUUCUACUCUACCUCUUUUACUUCUUCUUAACUAGAAAUCAUCAUUUUCUUUGUUUUUUAAAACAGAAGUGGAAAAACUAGGUAGUGACAAAAUAUUUUCUUUAGUCCUUUGACCCCCACUAUUUUUAGAAUCAAAAGGAAAUUUAUUUUCCUGAAAAAUAGCAUCAGCUGAUUCUAUUAUCACACUAUCUUCAAGAUUAAAAAAUCUAUAGGAUGUACUAUUUGAAGCAUAACCAAGAAAAGCACAACUAGUAACUUUUUUUACCCGACUUAGAGAUUUUAGGAUCUAUUAACCUUACAUAGGCUAAGCAACCCCAAACUUUUAAAUAUCCCAAAUUUGGUUUAUGACCUUUCCACAACUCAAAAGGUGUUAGUUUGGUCUUUUUAUGAGGCACACGAUUCUACACAUAACAAGGAAUCAAAAGAUCUUCAACCCAAAAAUUUAAAGGUGCACAAGACUCAAUUAACAUGACAUUAUUCAACUCAAUCAAAGUUCUAUUCUUCCUUUUCGAUACACCGCUAGAUGCAGGAGAAUAAGGAGAAGGAGCAUCAUGGAUUAUACCCAAUGAUCUAACAAAUGAAUUGAAUUCAUGUAACUCGUAUUCACGACCUCUAUCACUUCUAGUUCUUUUUAUUUUUCUUCCAAAAUGAUUUUGAACUUCAUGGAGAACAGUUUUAAAGUCCUCAAAUGCAUCACUUUUAUUUUUUAUUAUGUAAAUAUAUGUAAACUUAGAAAAAUCAUCAAUGAAAGUGAUAAAAUAUCUAUUUUCUCCAUGAGUUAAAAUUCUACCAAGUUCACAAAUAUCACUAUUAGCUAAUUCUAAUAAAUCAGUUUUUCAUUCAACUUGAAAAUGAGGCCUUUUGUGAUUUUUGUUUUACUACAAGCCUCAAAUUUUUUAAAAUUCUUUUUUAUCACUAUAAUUAAUCAUAAACUACUCAUGAUUCCAAUAUAACGAUCAUUUAUAUGACACAAAUGAGUAUGCCAAAAAUUAAUAGAAGAAAACAUAUAAAUAGAAGCAGAUGUUUUAUUCAUUUCAACAUUCACCUUGAACAUACCAUCACAUGCAUACCCCUUUCCCACAAAAAUAUUAUUUUUCACAAUUACAUACUAAUCAGAUUCAAUAAUCUGUUUGAAGCCUGCUUUAUUAAGAAGAAAACUAGACAUUGAAUUUUUUUCUCAUGGAAGGAGUAUAAAGUACAUCUUUUAUAAUUAAUACCCUUCCAGAAGUAAAUCUCAACUCGACAUCUCCCAUUCCAAGUACUUGAGUUGUGUGUGAAUCUCCAAGCAUGAUGGUUUUGGGAUCCUUUUAAAAUUAGUAUAUUUUUUAAACCAGUCUUUAUCAUAACAAACAUAAUGGUUGUUGACACCUAAUUUUUGCCCUCCACAACUAGCUUUAAUUUUGAGUUUCUUUGAUUUUCAAUAAAAUUACAACAUUUAUUUUAUCGAAUAAAGAAACUUUUCAAAUGUAUUUAUCUUGGUAAGUUUGUCAUUUAAGUAGCAAUUAUAUAUUAUUGUAUUCAAUUAUACGAAAUCAUAUAAUUUUGUUACUUAAAAUUUUGAGUUAAAUAUAAUUUAUUAUUAAAAUUAAUUUAUUUGAAAAAUAUUUGUUAGAUUUUUAUCAAAUCAAGAAACUCAAGGUUAAUUUGUUAUUUAAUUCGUGCCGGAUUGCGAUACAAUUUAGCAAACUAAUUAAAUAUGACCUCAAUUGAAAUCAAAUUGGCCCCAGUUAUAAUGCAAUUGACCAAUUGACAUUCAAUUUGAUUAGAAUUUAAAUAAGUCGUUUAAAUUGUAAUUCAAUCUAAAUUCCCUAAAGUUACCAUUUCUUAAUUGAAAUUAUUUUAAUCUGAUUAAAUUUAAUUAGAGUCAUUCUUUUGAUCUAAUUAAAUUUAAUUAUGAUUAUUCUAAUCUAAUUAAAUUUAAUUAUGAUUAUUUAAUAAUCCAAUUAGAUUUAAUUGGGGUUAUUACAUAACCCCCAACAUGACCUAAUUUGAGACCCAAGUCUGCCAAGCAAAUUGAACCACAGGCCCAUUUUCUCCAACAACCAGCCCACUCCUUAUUUUCCAAAUGACAAAACAAUUCCAAUCAGUCCCAUUGCUCCAACCCAACAGCCGUGACCCAAUUACAAAUCCACUGCACCAGCCCUAAGCCCAAUUCACAAUUCGACUCGGGCCCAUCCCUUUCCUUCUUCAAAUAGAAAACCACGACAACAACUAGACAAAACAGCUCCAAUAUCAGCCUUAACACCAUCCAAAUCCCAAUCAAUGUCUUCAACCUUCAAAGACUAGCGAACCCGACCCGAAUCCACCAAAUAGACCCGAACCAGCAUCAACCAAAAUUGACCCAACUCCAUUUGAGUUGACCCGACCCUGACCCAUGCAUAUUUGCAAAGAAAUUGGUUGAAUCUUCUAGAAUAUGGUGAGUUGGCCCCCUUCAACAUUCCAAUCCCAUGAAUCUCGGGUACUAUAGUACGAAUUCGUAUACACCUAUUCAAUUUCUAUUGGUUGGUAAAGAAAUUUGAUCCCUUCAAUUCCAUUGGUUGGAGAAUUUUGGAUUUCAUCAAGAAAAUUCCAAAAUCCGUAUGAGUUGUUGGUGGAAAACGUUAUCUUGAGUUCAAAUUUUGAAUUCCCUUUGGGGAAAAGCCCUGAAAUUGCCCUUUAUUUUCUUUUUCCCACAACGUUCAAGACUGAGAAUAGACCCCCCCCACCCCCCCUCUCAUUCCUCCUCUAUAUAAACAACUCACUGUUGAGCAAAAAAGGGGGUUGGGGGAAAUUCUUGGGUUAGGAAUUUUAGGGAGAAAAUUGGUUCGAAAAUUGAGGUUUGAAAAAGGGGUUCGGGAAAACUUUGGUUAGAGAAAAUUUCUUUGAAAAGAAAGAAGAGGGGAAAAUUUCUAAGGGCUAAGAAUUUUCUUUCAUAAUAAAAAGUUGUCUUUUCUUUCUUCUUUUGAAAAUUGGCUGAUUAAUCGAAGGCUUUUGAGUUGAUAUCACUGAUUGCUGGUGGUGGUGGAUCCCUACUUCAGCCCGUUCGUUCCAUUUUUCUUCUCCCUAAAAGGUAAUAUCCUACUCCAUUUGAGAUUUUGAUUGCCUCUGCUUCAUCUGGACCUUCUGUAGUUGUGAGCAAAUCUUGAGUAACAUUGUAUGCUGGGAUUGAUUGCUGGUAAAUGUCUUUGAUAGCCGUAGGUAGCUAUUGAUAGAUGUCCGAUUUAAUACUCUCAAUUUUGUGAACUGCUUAAGGUUUGUAUAGCUAACUUUAUGUUAAGGUUUCAUGUUCUUCGAUUCUGUUUUGAGUUGCUGGGUAUCUUGUAAGGCUGGUUUGUUGUUUAGAGUUUUCAUGCUUUUGAUUUUGUUUUGAGUUACUGGUAUCCUGUUAAGGCUAGUUUCGUGGCUAAAGUUUGAUUCUGUUUGGUCGUUUCGGGCUGCUUAUAUGUUGUUAUGGUUGGCUUCAUGGUUUAAAGUCUCUUGCUUUGAUCCUGUUAAAUAGUUUUGGGUUAAUGGCGUGUUAUUGUAGCUAUUUCCGUAGUAAAGUUGCAUGCUUUGAUUUUGGUUCGGGCUACUAGUACCCUGUUAUAGCUGAUUUCAUACUAAAGUAUCAUAUUUCGAUUUUUAGUAGUUCGGGUUUCUAGUAUCUUGUAAUAGAUUGGUUCCGUCAUUAAAGUUUCAUACUUCGACUCUUGAUUAGUAGUUUUGGGCUUCUGGUAUCUCGUUAUACUUGAUUUUAUGGUUAAAGUUUCAUGCUUUGGAUUUCGCUUAACAAUUUUUUUUAAGUCGUGGCAUCUUGUCUCAUGAUUAAAUUACCUAAAAUUGGGUUUAUGUAGUGUUUGAAUCUCACUUGUUUGUUAACCCAGUGGUAACGAAGGCAUUAAGAUUUCAACCUUGCUUUUCUUGAAGUUUCAGCUAUCGUAUUCCACGCCUAAACUGAUUAAGUCUUUAAUUUUGUUUGUUUGGCAUUCUGGAAUUUGAAUGUUGCUUGUGAUCCAUGGUUUAUGUAGUAUGAUUUAGGAGUUGUAACUCUUUUUUGUGACAUGCUUAAUUGGGUCCUUUUGUGGCAUUAAAGUGAUAAAUUGUUUUCUUUAUUUAGCUAAAGACCAUAAGAAUUUCUUUUUGAAGCUUUAUUUCCUCCUGUAGUUGAAAUUUCUUUAAUUAAUUAUGAACAUUUUCUUCAAACUUUAUAGACUUUUGCUCCUGUGGCAUUUUUACCUGUGUGUGAAUGUAUUUGAAUGAAGCAUGAAUGUUAUAGCUUUUUAAUUGUUAAAAUCUUGGACGUGUGCUAAUUUCUUCAUUCCUUUACUUGCAGAGUUCAAAUGGGCUCCUUCUCUCUUUGCAUUUCAUAAAUGGUACCAUGAGGCUCACCUCGUUGAACUAAGCCCAAAAGAAGGUCCAAAAGCCCAUCGUUUGGCGUAUGGAUACGAGAAGACGGAAGGAAAGGAAAUGGAUCAAAGUCCUACGUUUGAAGUGGCUAAUAGAUAAAAGUCUCAUUUAUUAUUUUGUUUUGUUUAAUUUUUAUUGUCUUUAUUUAUUCUAUUUGUUUAUUUAUUUAUUCAUUCAUCCGGGCCAUGAAGCCAAGGUUGUAUUUAACACAGGUGGAGGCAAGAUUUGAGCCAAACACUCGAAAACUAGAUUAGGAUAGGUGAAAUGGGUCGAAGGCCCAUUUAGACUAGGACAGGUUUUGUUGGUUUGGGCCAAUGGACUAAAUCCCUUAGUUCCUCCCUUUCCCCCUGUUCUUUAUGUUUUUUUUUCUUAUGUGCUUUGCGAACCUAGUUGAAUUCUAAGUGAAGUCGCUAAAAAACUGAUUUUUGCAAAAUUCCUAAUCAACUACUUUUCAACAAAUUAAUCUUUUAGAAGUUAAUCAAAGACGUUAUCAAACAGUCCGAAUAUCCGCAAGUUAGCGGACGUUUUAGGUGGCUAACACCUUCCUAAAUCGUUAAUAGGAACUGCUUAACUAGAAUCUCUAACUUAAAACAAUUUUCUUGUUUUGAAUCAUUUGAAGUAAAUCUCUAAAGGUUUCUUAAUUCCUUUUCAAAAUUAAGUGGCGACUCUUCUCUAGAGUCAAAAUUUUCGCAAAACAAAAAUGGCGAAUCUACUGGGGAUUUUUUGAACUAGGUUCUAACCAAAUAUUUAAUUUCGUCUUUUGAUUAACUAUUUAUGUGUCUACAUGUUUCGAUUCUGUAAAGUUUAACUAUCAUAUCUCAUAGCAUAUUCCUGGAUUAUUUAAACUAUUUUGGGGUUUUGUGGAUGUCUCGGUCCCCUGUUGUUCAAUUCCAAAAAUGUGUUGGAAAUACGAACGGCUUAUUAGUACGUGAGUCGUCUGAUGGUUGUUUGUAUUUUCAAACUCCAGUUGUCCGCUUGAGAAUCAGUGUUCAAACCCACUCUAGAUACCUAGGAUAGAACGAAACCAAAAUCCUAUUUUAGGCAUGAUCCUAGGAUGACCCAAUACCCAAGCGGGUUAUUGGGCUCGUUAGAAAACCUGCCCUGCAUCUAUUGACCCCGAGUCAAUGAUAGACGAACCAUAUUUAUAUGUUGAAGAAAAUUUAUGCAUGUUUAAUUCAAUUCAUUAUCCUUUAGGGGUCGGGAAAAAACUUGAUCUGCUUACUUUCGUAAGAAGAACUGAAGCAACUUAAGCAAAAAAUUGAUCAAUUUGGGAGGUUGCAUCUAAGGCACAGUUUGAACGUCAACGGAUGUGAUCAAUAUAGGAAAUGGAAGAAGCUAAGAGCACGAAGGCCAAUAGAAGAAGCAUUCAAUAAUUAGUAUCCCCUGUGUGGGACAUUAUUCCCUUUCCCUAAAGAUUGUAUCCCUUUUGUUCAACUUUUGUAGAUAUUUAUGUUAUUUAGGUAUACCUAUGAAGGUUUUGGGGGAUACUGGAUUGGCUUUAAAAAAGACAUAUAUUUUCUUCAAAAUUCAUUAGGCCUAAACCCUUGGCUCAAAUGGGUCACCUAAUUAGGAUGCAUGUUUAUUACAAUAUGCUUGUGUAAUAUAACUCUUUAUGUGCUUAUACGUGUUAUGUUGAUUCGAAUCAAAGGCGAACUGAUCCAAUCCCAUUUAUCAUAGAACAUCUCUAGGCAGAAAUAUACCCCACUAUACAAAAGUCCGACCAAAAGUACUCCAAGUCUCCCAAGUUUCUU